Molecule: long non-coding RNA, 79385 nt
Filed under: Triticum aestivum (bread wheat)
Lineage: Eukaryota; Viridiplantae; Streptophyta; Magnoliopsida; Poales; Poaceae
Description: long non-coding RNA (TAES_LNC001241)
Source: RNAcentral
CCCCUCCCUACGUUUGGCGUACAACAUCACCAAUUUGCCAGAGCAUACUCAUAGUUGGGUGGGUUCGUCAAUAUUCGUUGCUGCGUUUCGUUACGGAAUUUGAGUUCCAAUAAACCAAUUACACCUUCGUCGUUCACUUGAAAGAUUGUAUUAUUAGAAACUUCAUACAAGGCGUGGCUGUUUGUAUUACCGUCGCUUUUUGCGGAACUUGUGCUCCUUAUGUUUUAGCAUAUGAACUUCCCUAAAUCAAUUAUAGCAAUGUUCGUGCCAUUUUGGGUUUGUUAUUAAAGUUUUUUCUGCCAAGAUAUUUCUCUGAUGCUUGCCAAGUGGUCCUAUUUCUUGUCUUUAUUUGUUCCCAUUUCCUUUCUUUGGAAAAGAGGCGGCAAAGGGCACCUUUUAUUCAUUAUCAAGCUUACAUUCAGUAUUGGACACUCCUUUACAUAUUGAUUGCCAAUCUUUGAAAGCAUAGGACACUGAUCAGUCACCUGUAUGUGCUAAGCUACAGCAUGCCAGAUUUUUUUUGCCCACUACCUUGUCUGAUUUACACUUGCUUCUGGGACACAGAGUUAAGGUUCCUUGGUACUGUAUGUGAUAAAUCUGUAUCUUCAUUCAUGUUUGCUGUUGUGGCAAAGAAAUAUUCUCCCAAUGUCCAGGGGUGUGAAUAAUAUUUCGCGGCGCUGCUUCCUUUACCAGGGUCGGAUUAUCCACCAGAAGAGUGACCUCCUUGCAUCUGAAUUUGGAAAUUGUUUCUGCAGCAACCUGAAAGGCCAUAGCCUCUGCUUGUAAUCGGGAAAUGCCAUGUUUGCCACCUGCUGAAACAAAGAAGUUUGCUUUUACUUCAUUUUCUUCUACUUGUAUAUUUAUUCCAAUGUCUGCUGUGUUUGAUCCUGUACCCUGUAGUUUCUUGAUUCAGGCCUCCUUUGGUUUAUCAUGGGAAUAGGAAAAAUAUAUGAAGUGAAAUGACAUGUACGUCAAAUUCUGUAAGAAAAGAGAUGUGAUUUGGUUUAUAGGAUAUGAUUUUUUCCCCAUUGAAUCUAGGCUAAUGUUUUCUUUUCCUUUGAAUACAAAGGAUUGCCUCAUAUCCUAUACAAGAAUAUGAUUCUAUUUCUACAUAUCAAAGGGCUUCAAAGGAAAUUUUCCUACGAAAUUCCUAUCCUUCAUUCCUGCAAACCAAAGGAUAGUGUUGAGCUUGGUUCCUUGAAGAGCCUGCAUAGUCUGUAUAAGUUGUUCAAGUCUUGCUCUGCAUCAUUUGGUCCAUCUGCUUGGGAGUAUUAGUAAAUAUGCACGUGCAACGCACGUCUCAACUAAUAUUACAAUCAUAUGUAAAAAAGCACAUCGUUUGGUAUAAUUAGUACCCUCAACCUGAACAUAUUCUACUACCGUACAUCCAUUUUAAAUUAUAUAUAUAAUUAAGAGCCAUUUUAUAUGCCAAAAUCUGUUAUUAGAAACAGUAUUGAUCAGUUUUAGAUUUUACGUAUACACCUAAAUUAAGCAAGCAUUCAGAUAUGACAUACAUUUCCAAAGCAACACCGGAAGAAUUCUUAACUCUCAAGAUUGAAGGCUCUACUGUAUUUUCAGGGAUGUGCCUGCAAACUUGUUUAGUCAUCAAUCCACAAUAUAUGCAUUUCUAUUGUAAAAUAAUUCCUUGCAGGGUACACAUGUGCAGCUAACAUGCAUUUCUACAUCACAUUAUUAUUAUUAUCGAUAAUUACUAACUUGUCUAACUUCCUCUCCAUUUCUCAUUUGAACAUGACACAUAUGCAGGAGCAGAGAAGGAGACCCAGAUGGUUACCAAACCGGUGGCGAAGAAGAUGACAAUGACUCAGAGAAGCACCUACAGUGACAGUCAUAUGGCCGAGCUUGAGCAGCACCAAGACCAUACGCCCCUCAAACAUUAAUGAAAAACUUGGUCAUUAUUUUUGUUCCAGCUAACAGGUUAGCCCCACUUGCCCCUCAAACAUUAAUGAAAAAUGUGGUCAUUAUUCUUGCUCCAGCAAACAGGUUAGCCCCACUUACCUUCCCUGCCUCAUCACCAAGGUAGAUAAUAACAUAGUAGUAGCAUACAAAAACCCGGACAUCAGCAGGGCAGGUUGCACACUUUGUAAACUGAUGACAUCAGCAGGGCAGGUUAUUUUCCUGCUAACAUGAAAUCAAUCACCCUAUGCCUUUUAAAAAUGCUUUUCAAUGUACCCUGCAGUACCAAAUUAUCAGUCCAACUAAAACAAGAUCGGUAGGUAAUUCUAAAUUUAUUAUUCAAAUUACCAGCGAGAGAGUUAUCUGACCAUAAACACAAUAUUCAUUAGCUAAUUGACUAUGCGGCGAUAAUCCUCUUACAUUACUGCCCACCAAACUCAGAGAAGUAGUUUAGUUGCAUUACUUCUUGCCAUGGAUUGAUAGCAGUAAGGACAACCGAUAAUCCAAAAUAAUGAAGUUAGAAAAAUAUAAGUUGGGGCAUACUGAUCUUAUGGGUGACUGUAUCCGGUCAAAUAAUGGUGGGCGAGCAUAGAGACGUCUGUCUUGUCCGUUGGGUGAACAAUUGCAAUGGAGAACUAAUGUGGGAGGUGUCCUAGAGCAGUAUCGACACUAUACUGCAGAUAACUUAACCCAUCAGAAGUUCUAAAAUGACCCAAAGAAUCAGAGAAUGAGGAAAUGGAGAGGGCUACAUACAUAUGUCAAGUUGAUACCUGAAACCAGUCAUUUGGAUCACAAAUACUACUCAGUCAGCUUGAACCUAAAAUAAGAACCAAGAUGAGGGAAGCUGCCGACCUUGAAAUAGAAUCAAUAUGAAGAUCAUGUGUCUCAAAAAUCUUGUUUGCACUUGGUAGUGAACUACUUAUUUACAACAAUUUUUCUUUUCUGGUGUACAUGAGAUAUUGGGUAUCGAUUGCUAGCUAACUACACAACACUAACAUAUGUGAGCCGCUAGAUAGAAUUAAAUGCGAACAAGAUCUGUAGGUAAUUACAUCUAUAAUAAUUUGGUGGAAAAAAUCAAGCCAUAAUGAUCCCAUUGACAUGUUAAAACUUGCAUCAAAAUUCAAACAUAGUACAAAUAUCACUUUGAAAAUGAACAUCAUAAAUCCAGAAAAUACAUUGAUCCAAUAGAUAACUCAAAACACAGAGAAUCGCUCACUACUAUUAUUAAUGAGUAAAGGUAAGAAGAAACUCAUUUGCACACUCCGCAAAUAUAAGAAAACUAAUGCAAAAGGGCACUAUACAAGACAUAUAUACCAAUAUUGUAUUGACCGAUCACAAUAAUAAAGCAAUCAGUCUUGGUUUGAGGUGCUUGGUCAGAAGCAGCAGAGCGGGACUGGAGGACGACACAACAUCCAGGGCAGUGGCUAGUUCAUCUGCUCAGGCAGAAGGUCAAGGUGCACCUGACGUAGUUGACUGACGUAGUUCGGUCAGACCUGCAUAUAUAUGUCCAAUUUUCAAACAUCUCCAGAGCAAAACAAACAAAAUGAAAGACUGUACUUCUGAAAUCAUCAUGUUGCAAAAAGAAUAGUGAAAUAUAAUAGCAGAUGGUAACACAUAGAAGAAUGUUUAUUACCUCUUGUCUCAUGUCCUUGCUGACGACUUUGCCAUUUCAAAAAUCUUCCUCCACCCUUCCAUUAGACCGUACUUCUGAAAUCAUUAUGCUGCAAAAAGAAACACCAAGUUCAGCAAGCCAAAAGUUCAUUUCUUCUACUUUACCAAACUAUAAAUUCGUAAGUUAGGUCUCAAAAGUUCAGCGAGCCAAAAGUUUAUUCCAGUAAAUUUUUUUGUGAAAUCCUAUAUCGCUUGAGCAAUGGAUUUGCAUUGUCCAUCCUAUAAUACUGUCCAUAUCUACAUCAAGUAGUACAUGUCUUGCUAUCUUGUAUUGUGAUGGAUUAGUUCUCACUUUUAUCUAAUCGAUGCAUCUGUCGCCAUUUAAUAUGAAAUUCACAGAGAUUAGCUGAUGUAUUAUUCUUCAAUUCCUUCUCCCACAUAUUACAAUUUGGAAUGCAAUUGACUCCUCGGAAAUUUGAUGAACAGAAAAAAUGUUGAUUGAAGAGAGGAAGGGCGUGUGACGUACAGCUUGUUGGCAAGGGCUGGACUUCGUCCUCUGCUUGGACCAACACGGCGGAUGCAUGAGGAGUGGAGAGAGCCCGCAUCCGGCGGAAGCAAGGCAGGGGGUCAGAUAGCACCAUGGUGCCCUGCCCGCGUCACCGUUAAGCCAGGCAGCAAGCCAGCAACUCGUGUCGGCGACCCUCCUGCGGCAACGUAGUUCGUGCCUCAACGCUGCUGCACCAAGCGUUUGCCGCGCGCCCGUGCCAAGCCGACACAAACCAGGUGCCCCGUCGUCGCCCUCCUUGGGGAUGGCCGUAGCUUCGCCCCGGCACGCCCUCCGGCGGGGGCGGCGAGACAGGGAGGAGUUAGGGAAGGGAAGGGGUGGUGGCUAGGGUUCUCCCCCGAGACGCAUGGAGGCGCUGGCCCUAGCUUCGCCCCGGGGCGCACUCCGGCGGCGGCGGCGAGACGGGGAGGAGGUAUAGGGGAGGGAAGGAGUGGCGGCUAGGGUUCUCCCCCGAGACUCAUGGAGGCGACGUGGUGGUUGCGAAGAUGAGAUAUGGAGAGCCCUUUGCGUUGACGAAGCGUUGUACGCGGACGCGCGUGGAAUAUUCCUUCGCGGGUGGAGUGCGUUCUGCUAAAUUGCUAAUUGCACACAUAGCUCGGGAUUUAAUUAACUGUAUCCAUUAGAUUUUAUUUAGUGGGACUAAUCUGACGAUGGUAAUUAGGUUGGGUACAUCUGCGGGUGGCUUAAAGAAAGAAUUAGUUUGAUUGUUUAAUAGUAGUAUAGAUAUAGAUUAUUUAGUGGGACUAAUCUGACGAUGGUAAUUAGGCUGGGUACAUCUGCGGGGUGGCUUAAAGAAAGAAUUAGUUUGAUUGUUUAAUAGUAGUAUAGAUUUGAUUUCCUGCCAAAGAGGUUGUCAUUCCUGGUUUUCCAAAUAUACAGUAAAAAUGUCAUAAUAAUCUUUUAAAUCACUACAGAUACUAAGCUCCCACGAAAUGGGAGCAUUUGGUGCGUGAGGGCUAUGUCGGCUAGCGGUAAUUUAUUUUUUUGACCAACUGUUGGCGGUAAGUGGGCCUGGUUUUGGGAUAGUCGGUUCUAACUGGGCUUGUUCAGGUGCCUCAUGGCGUGCCUGUUUUAGCUAGGAAUGAAGUUGGUUCAGAGGUGUCAAGUAGAGAGGUUAGAUCUUCUCUGCUCUGUUGGAGCCUUUGCAAUAAGAAAGUGGAUUAGGAGAGAGAGAGCUCGCAGACGAUGUUCCCUUCCUUCAGGAUCAGCCUCAUGAAAAUCUUAUAUUCCCUGAGGAGGAUUUUUUUUACAGACCAGAGGGGCUAUCUAAAUCCUAAAGUAAAGGCGAGCGAUCGAAGUAGAAGUCGACCGCCUAAAAAAAGACGUCUGUAAAAGAACUUCGACUUCUAUUAGUUUCUUUUCUUCUUUAAUGCAAUAGCUAUAGUUUGAUAUAAGAAUCCAUUUCGAAAUACCUCGACUUUUUCAGAACAGGUCCGAGUCAAAUAGCAAUGCAGAAAGAAAAACAACGACUGGAGUGGGGGAGUCAGAGUCGAAAAGAGGAUAUCGUCCGAUUCUCCUUCUAUUGAUUCUUUUCCGAUCAAGAUGUUAUCCUACUAGUUUUUUCUUUGCCAAAUUACCCGCUGGCGUUACUACGAGGAAACUGUUAUGAUACUAAACCUCAUGCCCUAUCGACCCGUCAAUUUUGGAUCCAAUUCGGGAUUUUUCUUGGGAGGUCCUGCGGCAAAAUAGCUCGAUGCCAGAAUGAUAAAAAGCUUAACACCUCUUAUUUGACUUUUUCACUAUUUUGCUAGAAAUCGAUCACUGAUCCAAUUUGACUACCUCUACGGGAUAGACCUCAACAGAACCAAUAUGGCUCCAACCUGGGGUUGGUCUCCUCCCCUUCCAUGGCGGCUGCGGGUGCGGAUGGUGGUCUGUUCCCGCACGGCCGUUCCCCUUCUUCCUCGCGCCCCCGCCCCGCUGGGUCUCCUGCCUCUGGUGGCCGCGGCUCUACACUUAGCGGCUCGGUGAAGCUCAUGAAGAAGACGGCGGUGCGCAAGGUCAGCGCGGAGGCGGUGCGCGCGAUGGAGCCGCUGGGGGCGCAUGUCACUCCGAGGCAGUCGGUCAUGGCGCUGGCGGCCCCGACAGCGCCUCCAGUGGACCAGCUGCUGCAGGACGCCUCCAAGACGGUGCUGAUUUUGAAGGCCAAGCGCACGAAGAUGGUGCCAGCGGCGCCGGUGCGCACCAGCUCGCGUUCGAAGGGGGCCAAGGGCAAUAUGCCGUCCUUGCAGAGGGCGCAACUCCUCCAAGCCCAGAAGAACAUGGAGAUCUCAGNNNNNNNNNNNNNNNNNNNNNNNNNNNNNNNNNNNNNNNNNNNNNNNNNNNNNNNNNNNNNNNNNNNNNNNNNNNNNNNNNNNNNNNNNNNNNNNNNNNNNNNNNNNNNNNNNNNNNNNNNNNNNNNNNNNNNNNNNNNNNNNNNNNNNNNNNNNNNNNNNNNNNNNNNNNNNNNNNNNNNNNNNNNNNNNNNNNNNNNNNNNNNNNNNNNNNNNNNNNNNNNNNNNNNNNNNNNNNNNNNNNNNNNNNNNNNNNNNNNNNNNNNNNNNNNNNNNNNNNNNNNNNNNNGUUUACAGUUCUAGAUGAUUUCUCGGACGAUCAUUUGCAUGAGGUGUUGGAUGCGAGCGGUGUGGAUCCCUCCUGUGUAGGAGGGGUUAGCGAGUUGAUUUCGCUGGUGCGCGCUAAGGAGUUAGCGCAGGCCGCGAUCGCGGCUGCCGCUGCAGAGCGUGCUGAGCAGAGACCCCGGGUACCCGAGGGAGGGGACGCCGUGGUGAUCUCUGUGCCCGAAGAGGGGGGACAGGCAACAGGGGUUGCUCCCUCUCCCACGACUUGCAAGGGCAAGACGAGGCGAGUGGCUAAAGCGGUCACCUCCAGGGGUGUCCGGCUCCGGAAUCGCGUGAUCUAGAUGCGAGCUUUGUUCUGGAAUAUCCGUGGCUUCGGUCAUGUGGGGCGGCGUACCCAACUUAAAGAGUACAUGCGCAAAGAGGACAUAGAUAUCGUAGGGCUUCAAGAGACGAUUAAGGCAGAUUUUCGUUUUCAUGAACUGCUUGCGAUCGACCCCUUGGAGCGCUUCGAGUGGCAGCACGCCCCUGCUGUAGGGCACUCAGGUGGCAUGCUGCUGGGCUUGAGCUGAGCCCUGUACGAGGUUAUUGACUGGGACGUAGGCUCGUUUUAUAUCGCGGCUCAUUUCCGUAUUCGUGCCUCGCUUCGCGAGUUAGCAAUCAUACAAGUCUACGGACCGACCGAUCACUCUCGUUCGGCGGAGUUCUUGGCGGAACUCCAGGCCAAAGUCACCACGAUGUCCGCGGCCACGCUCCCUGUUUUGGUGGGUGGAGAUUUCAACCUUAUCCGAUCAGGAGCCGACAAGAACAACAUCAAUAUAAACUGGCCUAGGGUGACCAUGUUUAACUCCGCCAUUGCUGCCAUGGCCCUAAGGGAGGUGACCAGGUCAGGCGCGAGGUUCACUUGGACUAAUAAACAACUCGAUCCGGUGCGCUCAGUGCUGGAUAGGGUGUUCAUGUCGCCGGAAUGGGAAAUGGGCUUCCCUCUCUGUACAUUGGUCGCAGAGACACGCAUAGGUUCUGACCAUGUACCGCUCGUAUAUGCCUCGGGGGAGGACAGGGUGCGACACAGCCCGCGCUUCUUCUUCGAAACAGCCUGGUUCGAAGUGCCAGGCUUCGAGGAGUUUUUCAGGGCGAAAUGGCGGGCAUGCGUUGAUUCAUUAGGAACCCAGAGAGGCCCGAUGGAAUUUUGGAACACGGUGGGGGGCCGGAUCAGGGCUAGCCUCAAGGGAUGGGGCGCAAACUUAGGGAGGUCUGACAAAGAGUGCCGCGCCGAGAUCCUUGCGGAAAUCGCAAGGAUUGAUGCACUGGCUGAUGCUAGGGCCUUCUCAGAGCAGGAAUGGGCCCAUCGCUACGCCCUGGAGGGCUAGGUAGAAGCGUCCCUGCGCGCGGAGGAAGAAUACUGGCGUAGACGAAGUGGUCUGAAGUGGGUUCUGAAGGGCGACGCCAAUACUAAGUAUUUCCAGGCUUAUGCUAACGGGCGUCAUCAGAAAUGUUCCAUCUUAAGGUUGCAAUCAGAGCAGGGGCUUCUGUUGCGACAGGAGGACAUCUCCAGACACAUUUACGAGUUCUACAUCAAUUUGAUGGGCUCGUGCGAGGCCCAGGGGGCGGGGCUCCGCGAAGACGUUUGGGAGGAUUCGCAACGUGUGUUGGACUGUGAAAACGAAGCGCUAGGGCUUGCCUUUCUGUCAAAGAGAUCGACGCCGCUCUCCUCAGUAUGAAAGUGGACACGGCGCCAGGACCAGACGGUUGGCCGAUGGCGAUGUUCAAGCGCUUCUGGCCUUUGCUUAGGGGCCCCAUUUUCGAGAUCUGCAACGGUUUCAUAAGGGGGAUGGUUGACAUCUCGUGCCUCAACUAUGGCGUCUUAACGCUCAUCCCGAAGGUCCAAGGGGCAGACAAUAUUAGACAAUUCCGACCGGUCGCGCUCAUUAACGUGCCUUUUAAAAUCUGUGCAAAAGCGUGCGCCAAUAGACUAGGUCCGAUAGCUCAUCGCUCGAUUAAUCAAAACCAAUCUGCUUUCAUCCGAGGACGCAACAUUUUAGAGGGACCGCUCGCCCUGCAAGAGAUCGUUCAUGAACUAAAGCGCACUAAGGAAGCGGCGGUGCUGCUGAAACUCGAUUUUGAGAAGGCAUACGACCGUGUGAAUUGGGAAUUCUUGCGGCAAGUGCUUAUUGGAAGAGGCUUUUCUGACGUUUGGGUCCACCGUAUUUUGCAGUUGGUGUCGGGAGGCCAAACUGCAGUCUCGGUGAACGGAGAAAUAGGGCAUUUCUUCCGGAACAAACGCGGGCUCGGGCAGGGUGAUCCGAUCUCACCUCUCCUUUUCAACUUCGUGGUGGACGCUCUGUCCACAAUGCUUCGGAAAGCAGCCGAAGCAGGCCAUAUCCAAGGGUUGGUAGGCCACCUCAUUCCAGGGGAAGUGACGCAUCUGCAAUAUGCAGAUGACACGCUGCUUUUGUUUUGCCCUGACCACCACAGCAUUGCGUCGGUCAAAGCGAUUCUAAUUUGUUUUGAGCUCAUGUCAGGGCUUAAAAUAAAUUUUCAUAAAUGCGAGGUGCUCACGAUGGGGGUUGAGCCGGAGGAAGGUAAACAUAUAGCGGAUUUACUCAACUGCAAGGUGGGUAAAUUCCCGCUGACAUACCUAGGCCUUCCAGUUGACAUCAAAAGGCCGACGAUAGAGGAUUGGGAACCUCUAUGUGCUAAGGUGAGGGGUAGGGUGUGCCCUUGGAGGGGUAAAUUCCUCUCAAAAGCGGCCAGACUAGUUCUCACGAACUCAAGCCUCUCUUCCCUGCCUAUGUUUGUUAUGGGCCUUUUUUUGCUUGCAGAGGGGGUGCACGCAAAGUUUGACACGCCGCGGUCUAAAUUCUUUUGGGAAGGAACUAGCCCGAACCGUAAAUACCAUAUGGUCAAAUGGGCUUGGGUGUGUCGUCCCAAGGACUUGGGGGGCCUCGGGAUCACCAACUCUAGAUUGCUUAACAUCGCUAUGAUCUGUAAGUGGAUUUGGAAAAUUGCCCGGGGGCGUCCGGACUCUGGGUUGAUCUCCUUAAGGCCAAGUACUUCCCCAACGGGAAUUUCUUUGAAGGUAGAGCAAGGGGCUCGCCUUUUUGGAAUGAUCUCCAGACGAUCAAGUCGGCCUUUGCCUUGGGGGCUAAGUUCUUGAUUGGAGAUGGGCGAUCGGCGCGAUUCUGGACAGAUCUUUGGAUAGGCGCCCGCUCCUUAUGGGAAGAAUUCCGCGACCUGUACGACAUUGCCGUAGACCCAGGCAUGUCGGUGGCUGACGCGCUGCAUACGACCCCUCCGGAGAUUCAUUUCAAACGCGAACUUCAGGGGACAGAGCAGGCCAGUGUUGUAGCCCUGCGGCAGUUGAUUGACCGGGUGGUGCUCUCGGACCAACCGGAUGCGGUGAGCUGGGCGCUCACCAGCUCUGGGAAGUUCUCGGUCAAGUCUUUAUACCGCAAGCUGUGCCAGGGGCCGUCGCAGCUGGUGGUGGCAGGGCUUUGGACCGCGCGGUUGCCACUGAAGAUCAAACUAUUCCUUUGGCAAAUGUUCUGCGAUAAGCUUCCCACUUCCCUAAACGUGGCCAAACGGAAUGGGCCGGCCAAUGGGCCUUGUGCGUUGUGCAGGGACCCAGAGGACGCGAACCAUGCAUUCUUUCGGUGCCCCUUAGCACGGUUUGCGUGGAGCGCAGUGCGGUCCGCGACUGGUGUCCAGUGGGACCCACGCUCAGCUGCAGAGCUUAUCCAUAUUUUAGGUGCGCUGCAAGGCUCAACGAAACGAGUCGUGUGGACCUGUGUCGGAGCUCUUCUAUGGUCCUUGUGGCUAACUAGGAAUAAACUCGCGAUCGAGGGGACCUUGCCAACACAUCCGGCUAAUAUCAUCUUCAAAUGCAAUCUUCUUUUGCAGCAGUGGAGUCCGUUGGGGAGGCGCAAGGAUGCUGAUUUGAUCAAGACAGCGCAACAACGAAUUCUGCAAGUGUAUGCGGCGGCUAGGGAGCCAUGACUAUGGUGGUCGACGUAGUCUCUUUUGAGUGCUUGACGAGCCUGCGUGCUCAGUACGGGUGAUGCCUUGUAACGCGACAGUAACUUUAUCUUCUCCGCUCGAUCAUGGUAGUGGCCCGAUGGAGCUUUUGGGUGAUGUAAGACUUAUUGGUAUGACUCUGCCGUUGGAGCUUUAUUAAUUUAAAGCCGAACGCAUCUGGCGUCUUCGUUCUAAAAAAACUGUUGAGUAACGGGGCCUGUUUUAGCGUACGCUUCGCUGGGUGCCUCUGUUUUGGCGUUCACUCUGCCGAUAGUAGGCGGCGGCGGCUAUGGCCUAUGGGGGCGUGACCUUUUCUUCUAUUCUCAGAGGAGGGCGACGGUGUUCUUGCUGGCUGCGCGACGUAGGGCUGCAUGAAGGUAGGCGGGUGGAGCUCUCGAACGGCGGAUGUGGAUGAAGACAUCCUCAGCGGCGACGGGGAUCAGAUCCUCUCUCUCUGAAGCGGCGGCGGCGGCGGACGGACGCAUCCUCAGCAGCGCCGCAGAAUCAGGUCACGGCGCCCCUCUCUGUUCCUGAGUCUGCUCUUCUCGGUCCUCUCAUUAGAAUGGCGCACGGCGGGGGCUGGUCGAGGGAUCGCCCAGAACGUAGUGAACUGCCUGGAACAUGGCGAACUCCGGUGCCACCCUAUAGUCAACUUUGUUAGAAAUUUAGUUCCAACAAACGUUGGCGCUGAUCCACCCUUCAGACAUGCCCGCGUCAGGUGUGCCUCUUUCCUCAUCUAUGUCGAUCUGUAUAUAUGUUCGUCCCAGCCCCCAGCUCUAUCAAACUCACACACAACAUCCUAGCAUGUGGCUCCUCUUGUUGAUGUUUUUUUUUCCAGAAACGAUUUAAUUCUUGCAUUGUCGCAUGGAGCCACAACUCUGUUCAUUUUUAUUGUUUCUCACGACCACCUACUUGCUACUUUGUUGGGCUCUUGAUUAUUGUUGCAGCUUAUGCAUGUAUGCCGGCCAAGUGCUUGAGAAAAUGUUUAGCAAUUAUUCUAAACAUAUUUCAGCAAUUAGCGAUGCAACUUCUAACAACUGAGAAAAUAUGAUUUAUUUGUCAUCGGCAGAAAAUAAAGUGACAUCCAGCAUGAUUAUUAAGUAAUUCUUAUCCUUGCGCCACACAUUAAAAAUAAAUCGUAUUGAUGCAGCGCCUGCAGCAGUUGAGAUAGGCCGGAUGAUAGGACCAACUACAAGACCCCUAUGAUAUGUGAGAACCUGUUUGGAGGUCUCACAACAUAAUUUUAUAAUGAACUCUUUGAUCUGCUAGAAGUUAAUUCUUUGAGUACUUCACUUUUUGUUUUAUAUGUAAUCCUAUUUACCCAAGGAAGCAUAAGGUUAUUUUCAUCAGCAGUUGUGCAAUUAUGAAAGGAUUCAGUUUGUUUAUGCUUGUCCUGGAGGAUAACAACUAGGCGUAGAUAUUAUAGAAUCAUCAUGUUCCCCAAACUAUGUCAAUACUCCAUACUUCCAUAGUAUCCAUGAAAGAACAUGUUCGGUGGAAAUUUGAUAAUGUUAAAGGUAAGGCAAUUUAUCACACUGCUCAAGAAAAGUAAUGGCGUUCCAAACUUUUCUAAAGGCAAGCAAUUUCACUUCAUCCAAGUUAAGACACUAUUUCAUAAUUUAGAAUAUUAUAAGUUGUUUUAUUAAAAAAACUCAUCUAUAUCAUAUCUGAUAAGGCAUGGUCCUGCUUCGCUAUAAUUUGAUAAAGUAUGUUUUGGUUGUGUUUUUAUUACAUUUCAGUGGAAUACCUACCAUUGGGCAAGCAUGGCCAGCGACCUUCAACUCUUGCUAUGUAUGAACAUGAAACCUGAGGUUAGUUGUGUUAUUCAUUAAAAGUCUUCUUGGAUUAGUGAGAUAACUUCCCAUCGGUGUUUUUUUUUACUAAACAAAUGCUGUGUACACUUGCAGACACGUGAGAGAAUUUUGAAAAGUGUUCCUUGCUUCAAAGAAUUCAGUGUUUCAUGUAUGCAAUGGUUCACUGUUAGUUCGUCAAUGGUUUUAUGUUUUACCCCUUUCCAGCUUUUUCUUUGUUUUCCAGCUAGAGAGGAAUGUCUAUGCUACUUGUUUUAAGAAUAUAUUUAUGCAAGCUUCUGAAUAAUGAAUUCAGAAUACUUUUGUACAAGAUUUCCUUGUUUUCCAGUGUUUUGUCUGCUAUCUAAGUACACAUGACCAUGAGUCCAUGACUAUCAGCUAUAGUGGUUGAAAUUGAAGCAAUUUAGCUUGAGAGGCAUAUUUUUUUCACAGAAAGUUUAUGGCCACGGUGCUAAUACUCCUAUCUGAAACAGUAGACAAGACCUCAACAAAUAAAAAUGUAUUGAUCAGUUACAGACCAAUAAAAAGUGUAGAACAGACAGACAACACGAAAGAUUCACUUGAUAUGCAUCAUGGAACCACAACCGCAAAGAUACUGCCAAAGGUGGAAUGGUUCAAGAAGAAGUCUGGGCGACAAGAAAAAGAUUAUGUAGUAAAACGCGCAUUUCCACUUGAUACAUAUGAAAAAAAGGGCGCGGCAAGGCACGCGUUCGCCUCUAGUAAAUUACUAAGCUUCCUAGGAAUGGAGCCUCCUGGGGAAUCAAGGAGGUUUUUGCCUUCGUGGCCCUACAUGUUAGGGAGUGGCUCGGUUUUGGGCUGCGGUUGGGCUUAUUAGCAUAUGAAUGCGGCACUCCUACGUUGAUUGUUGAUUGAUAGACAAAUCUUUAAAUUCAUGGACGUUUUUUUAAUUCAUAAAUAUUUUUAAAUUUUCAUAAACAUUUUUGAAAUACGGGGAUUUUUAAGCUAAGAACAUUUUCUAAAUUCCUGAACAUAUUUUAAAUUUGGAAACAUUUUUUGAAUUUCAGAUAACAUUUUCUGAAAUUCGCUACUCUCUCUUGCACAUACUAAGUGUACGUCAAUUAAUUUGGAUUGGAGGGAGUAACAUUUCUUAAAUUCAUGUUUUUUAAAAUCCCUAAACAUUUAAAUUCAUGAAUUAUUCUACCUAGUUUAGUUUUCCUUUCUCUUUGUUUUUCUGCUUCGCUUCCCCGGAUGGGUUGGGACCCACUAGGGCAACUGCGAGCGAACCGAAUCAUGGGUCCUUGAACAUGCAUAUUUGGUCGUCCUUCGGUGCACUAUGCGCUUAAUAGGAUGCCCCAUGUGUGCAAGUUAUUACGCCGCCAGGGGAGGGGGAGGGGCGAACUGGUUUUCUACUUCGUGUGUUUGUGAGGGUGUGAAGCUAGCUUGCUGGUUCUCAGGUUCUGUGAUGAGUGGUCAGGUCACCGCUUUCUCCGUCAUCCUUGUUGGGCACCUUANNNNNNNNNNNNNNNNNNNNNNNNNNNNNNNNNNNNNNNNNNNNNNNNNNNNNNNNNNNNNNNNNNNNNNNNNNNNNNNNNNNNNNNNNNNNNNNNNNNNNNNNNNNNNNNNNNNNNNNNNNNNNNNNNNNNNNNNNNNNNNNNNNNNNNNNNNNNNNNNNNNNNNNNNNNNNNNNNNNNNNNNNNNNNNNNNNNNNNNNNNNNNNNNNNNNNNNNNNNNNNNNNNNNNNNNNNNNNNNNNNNNNNNNNNNNNNNNNNNNNNNNNNNNNNNNNNNNNNNNNNNNNNNNNNNNNNNNNNNNNNNNNNNNNNNNNCAGACGUCGGAGAUCGAAACCAACAUGAACACCUAUCGGAGCGCCGUUGUAGCUGGGUCUUUGUAAGCCUGACCUCAAGGUUGGGGAGCGACUAGGUUGAGAUAUUGGAGUCUUUUUUAGGACAAAAAAAGUUGGAAUGAGGGUGAUUUUGAAAGGUGGAGACAUGAGCGAAUUCAGUUGUGUGGUCUGAUGGUCAUGCCUACACGUGCGAGCUAAGUAGGGAAGUUAGAUGAAAGGGGCGUCAGUUUCGGUGUAUAUGGUGUAAUGAUUAAUUCGGUUUAUGUAGGAUGAAAACCGGCGAUAUGCCCGAACACAAACAACUAGUAAUGGAAACACCGAACCGAAAAUCAUAAACCGAAUAAAUCGGGAAUACCGGUCAACUCAGUUUAGUUCGGUUCUUUAAUUUUUUGGUGAAACAUUGCUCACUUUUGACCGUAAGAGCCUGAGACUCACGAUCGAGGAACAGUGCGGCAAAGCACACGCCACCCAAAGUGGCUUGAGGAUGAUUAGAAUUGAGCAAAGCAUGAAUACUAGCAGGGAUUGUGCCAAAGGGAUUCAGAUCUAACAUGCCCUGGUUCUGAAAACCAUGCACCUUCGGCAAAAGGGCAUGCAAAGAAUGGGCGCAAAUCAUCUUCCUCUGAAUCACAUCUAGCACAAUGUUGCCAUUUUAUGCAGCAUCUCAGCUGUCGGCAUAAGGGCAUGGCCAACGCUUCAAGUUGGACGGAUGCUCCAUAGAAAAAGCUGAUGAUGUGGAAGAGAGAGGGAAAAAGGCUAGUGCUUGAAGAGAAGAAUGGGAUCUUGCAAAGGAGCCCGGUGCUUCAUCCAAAAAAAGUAAAAUAAAGCAAAAGAGAAGAGCUGGUUGUGAGAGAUGUGAUGCAUGUGUAAAGGAAAAAGUAAGAGAGAUACUAAGGGUGUGUUUGGUUGCAUUCUCAACUCAGUAUAGUUGUUCCCUCUUCAUGCAUGCUCAACCCAACACCCCUUUUCAUGCAUGUUCCUAGUGUAUUUGUGCUAAGCUAGUGUGGACUCAUGCAUCCUCCAUACACUCUACCAAACACCUAAAAGUGGGUCGAGAAGGGAACUCUUGGGCUCAUGCACCCUUCAUACACCCUACCAAACACACCCUAAGAGCAUGAACUAUGGGGGCAUCACCCCCGUGUGGUCUCAGCCUCCACCUAAGAAAAAUAAUAUUAAAGCCACCGUAUGAAUAUAUCACACCCAAUGGAAAUAACAUCUUCUAGUGGUCCACCUAUCUUCCUCUGCAUCACCACCUUUUUACUCCUCCUCCUCUCGCUCUAUGCUCUCUCUCUUCCAUUCCCUCCUUUUCUUCUGCUUUUUCAGCGAGGAAGCCGGUUCCUCUGCAAGAGCUUGUUUGGCUCUGCAAGCGACGAUCUUUUUGCUUUUCUCCUCCUCGGCGACAGCUCCUCCGACAUGGAUCCAUGAGGCAGCGGUCCAGCGUGGAGCGAUGGCCAUGUCCUAAAAAAUGAUGGAGAUGUGGUCCGGUCAAGCUAUGGCUGCUUUGGGGAGAGAAAAUUUAUACCGUGGUUUCAAUCUACAUGGCAGAUGAGGCAGCUACAUGGUGUUGCCUCCAUUGUACAAGCCCCAAUGCCCUAAGCUGUCGGUUGUUUAGGGGAUUGUCGUCGCAUCACUUGCUUGCUUGGUGGGCAAUGGGGUGCUUUGCCUAUUUGUGCUGAUUGUCUUGGCACGAUUCGUACGUCUUUGCCAGCCGAAAAGGCCACUGCCGAAUCCUGACGCGUGGUCGACACUUAGAAGUCGAUAUGGCUGUUCGACUUGAGGCGUGGCGUUUCUCUCCGCGUGUAUCUUGAGGCCCCGGUAGUAGUAAUUUUCCUUUUUUUUUUUGGGUCCGUCUUGUAACUGAGCCUUCAGGCUCCUGGUAUGAAUGAAUGCCGGGACGCCCUCCGUUGGGAGGGCUCAAGUUUGCCAGAAAUAAAAUCAUGGACUGACCUGAGAAUAAAAAACAUGCUUUGAAUGGAAAACACGAGCUUCCAUGGCUGCAACGGUCGUGCUUUGAAUGGAAAAACAGUCCUCUGAGAAUUGUCGUUAGGAAGGCAUUCAUCCUGAACGUCGGUUGCUUUGCUUGAUCUGACUGGCUGACGACGAAGGAAGGGUGCAGACGGCCGCCGUAGAUCGUACUCCAGCCUGGUUAGCCAGCUGGUAACACGGCCCCAUCACGUUCGUAAGCGACUGCCGACUGAGGACUAUACUAGUCUACCACUCCUGAAUAAAUAAACAAUUUCCACGAUGCUUCCUUCCAAAGCAAAGCACUACGCGCCCAUAUCCCAGGAGCUCUUUUUUUUUUUCGGGGAAGAGCACAACGUGUCCGUGUCGGUGUCGGUGCAAACACAACCCCCACCAUAUACAAACAUUUUAUAGUCCUACUAUUAUUAUCAAUUGCCCCAUUGAUUGAUCGGAUAUCUCUGUAAUUAAAGGGAUCGUGACAAGAUUGGUUGGCACUCCCUGUUACUCGCCUCACACCAUGAGUUAUGUUCAUCGCACGUCGUCAUCAUGAUAUAAUAGCUGGCUCAACCAACAUGCACUAGCGGCAUCUACUUGAGCCAGCACUAGGUAUAUGCACUACUCUAGCUAACCUCAGAUAUUAUUUGUCUUUGUCCUCCUAACUGUCAGCGAUUAGCACCACCAGCUCAAAGAGGGCAAAAUUAUCACCAUUAGCGGUACCGCAGCUUCCAGGUCACGUGUACAUGUGGUAGGUACAUGCAAUGGAUGUUGUGGUGCCACGUCCUCUCCUAUGGUAGUUGGGACAUGUACAACAUCUAAAAGGGAAAUUGGGACAUUGAUAAAGAGACGUAUCUUAAAUUCGCAAUAUUAUGAUGAUAACAAUAAAAAAAUAUAGUCUCAUCGAGUAUACUAAAAAAUGUACUAAAGCAAAGACAAGUAAUAUGGAUCGAAGAGAGCACAGUGAGUUGCCUCUUAAUCGAAUCUCUUGUAACUAGAUAUAAAUAUACGGCGAAAGAUAUUGUUGCUAAAAGAUAAUCUCUUGAUUAAUUCUCUCCUCCACCCUAACAUUUAUUAUUGUGACAUUUCUAAGAUAAUACAUAUCAUUGUACACCCCCUUAGGUCAUCUCCGAGGAGAAAUCUUAAAUGGGCACCCUCAAAUGUCGCGGAAACGUCCGGUUAUGUCUUCGGACAGUCGAUCAAACGCUGACCAAAUAAGGCUAUAUCUGAAAACUCUCCUACUUAUAUGUCCCUUCCCCUUCACUUCUUUUUGUUCACUAAAUUAAUUUCUUUCAUGUUCAACAUUCAAUAGCAAUUUUACGACGCAUAUAACACUUGCAAACAAAAACAAGCAAAACCAAAAGCACCGGAUGCCCAACAAAAAUAGCAAUUACUCGAAAGAAAAUCACGACCGGACGAGCGUUAGCGACUUGAUGAACAUGUAGUCCUUGUUGAGGUCGACGGCGAUGUACGGUGGAGGGUGGCCGGAGGUGAAGGAGGCAACAGAGUGUUGUCGCGAUUGUUGCAUGCCAGGUUCACCGUACUUCUGGGCAGCGAAGUAGUAUGACGCUUUGUACUAGGCGGGCCAUGGUGGCGAUUGCCCCAGCUAGACCGACAAGGCGGUCCGUUGUGGAGGAGGAGCUCCGGCCUGAACGGCUGCCUGCAUCUUCGUCUUCACCCUUCGCUUUAUGCACCUCUCUUGUCAUUUGGUAGUCUCCGGAUUCACAGGUGCGGCGCGCGUGGCAGACGUGCUCCGGGUCCAAAGGGGCGAUGAACCUCGUGAUGGGCUUUAGUGGAUCCAUCAUGGCGGUGACGAAACAGACAUGAUGACGAUGUUCGGAACGGAGAAGAUGGGGUUUUGGCGAGAAAAUAGUAGGAUCCGACGCCAUGAGUUCUGUUCAUCGCACGUCAUGAUAUACUAAUAGCUGGCUCAACCAACGUGCACCAGCGGCAUCUACUUGAGCCAGCACGAGGUAUAUGCACUGCUCUAGCUAACCUCAGAUAUUAUUUGUCUCUGUCCUCCUAACUGUCAGUGAUUAGCACCACCAGCUCAAAGAGGGCAAAAUUAUCACCAUUAGCGGUACCGUAGCUUCCAGUCACGUGCACAAGUGGUAGGUACAUGCAAUGGAUGUUGUGGUGCCACGUUCUCUCCUAUGGUAGUUGGGACAUGUACAACAUCUAAAAGGGAAAUUAGGACGUUGAUAGAGACGCAUCUUAAAUUCGCAAUAUUAUGGUGAUCAUCGAGUAUACUAAAAAAUGUACUAAAGCAAAGACAAGUAAUAUGGAUCGAAGAGAGCACAGUGAGUUGCCUCUUAAUCGAAUCUUUUGUAACUAGAUAUAAAUAUACGGCGAAAGAUAUUGUUGCUAAAAGACCAUCUUUUGAUUAAUUCUCUCCUUCACCCCAACAUUUAUUAUUGUGAUAUUUCUAAGAUAAUACAUAUCAUUGUACACCCCCUUAGGUCACCUCCGAGGAGAAAUCUCAAAUGGGCACCCUCAAAUGUCGUGGAAACGUCCGGUUAUGUCUCCGGACAGUCGGUCAGACGCUGACCAAAUAAGGCUAUAUCUGAAAACUCUCCUACUUAUCUGUCCCUUCCCCUUCACUUCUUUUUGUUCACUAAAUCAAUUUCUUCCAUGUUCAACAUUCAAUAGCAAUUUCACGACGCAUAUAACACUUGCAAACAAAAACAAGCAAAACAAAAGCACCAGAUGCCCAACAAAAAUAGCAAUUACUCAAAAGAAAAUCACGACCAAACGAGCGUUAGCGACUCGAUGAACAUGUAGUCCUUGUUGAGGUCGACGGCGAUGUACGGUGGAGGGUGGCCGGAGGUGAAGGAGGCAACAUAGUGUUGUCGCGAUUGUUGCAAGCCAGGUUCACCGUACUUCUGGGCAGCGAAGUAGUACGACGCUUUAUACUAGGCGGGCCAUGGUGGCGAUUGCCCCAUCUAGACCGACAAGGCGGUCCGUUGUGGAGGAGGAGCUCCGGCCUGAACGGCUGCCUGCAUCUUCUUCUUCACCCUUCACUUUAUGCAGCUCUCUUGUCGUUUGGUAGUCUCCGGAUUCACCGGUGCGGCGCGCGUGGCGGACGUGCUCCGGGUUUGAAGGGGCAAUGAACCUCGUGAUGGGCUUUGGUGGAUCCAUCGUGGCGGUGACGAAACAGACAGGAUGACGAUGUUCGGAAUGCAGAAGAUGGGGUUUUGGCAAGAAAAUAGUAGGAUCCGAUGCCAUGAGUUCUGUUCAUCGCACAUCAUGAUAUACUAAUAGCUGGCUCAACCAACGUGCACCAGCGGCAUCUACUUGAGCCAGCACGAGGUAUAUGCAUUGCUUUAGCUAACCUCAGAUAUUAUUUGUCUCUGUCCUCCUAACUGUCAGCGAUUAGCACCACCAGCUCAAAGAGGGCAAAAUUAUCACCAUUAGCGGUACCGCAGCUUCCAGUCAUGUGCACAAGUGGUAGGUACAUGCAAUGGAUGUUGUGGUGUCGCGUUGUCUCCUAUGGUAGUUGGGACAUGUACAACAUCUAAAAGAAAAAUUGGGACGUUGAUAAAAAGACACAUCUUAGAUUCGCAAUAUUAUGAUGAUCAUCGAGUAUACUAAAAAAUGUACUAAAGCAAAGACAAGUAAUAUGGAUCGAAGAGAGCACAGUGAGUUGCCUCUUAAUCGAAUCUUUUGUAACUAGAUAUAAAUAUACGGCGAAAGAUAUUGUUGCUAAAAGACCAUCUCUUGAUUAAUUCUCUCCUUCACCCCAACAUUUAUUAUUGUGAAAUUUCUAAGAUAAUACAUAUCAUUGUACACCCCCUUAGGUCAUCUCCAAGGAGAAAUCUCAAAUGGGCACCCUCAAAUGUCGCAGAAACGUCCGGUUAUGUCUCCGGACAGUCGGUCAGACGCUGACCAAAUAAGGAUAUAUCUGAAAACUCUCCUACUUAUCUGUCCCUUCCCCUUCACUUCUUUUUGUUCACUAAAUCAAUUUCUUCCAUGUUCAACAUUCAAUAAGAAUUUACGACGCAUAUAACACUUGCAAACAAAAACAAGCAAAACAAAAGCACCAGAUGCCCAACAAAAAUAGCAAUUACUCGAAAGGAAAUCACGACCGGACGAGCGUUAGCGACUCGAUGAACAUGUAGUCCUUGUUGAGGUCGACGGCGAUGUACGGUGGAGGGUGGCCGGAGGUGAAGGAGGCAACAGAGUGUUGUCGUGAUUGUUGCAAGCCAGGUUCACUGUACUUCUGGGCAGCGAAGUAGUAUGACGCUUUAUACUAGGCGGGCCAUGGUGGCGAUUGCCCCAUCUAGACCGACAAGGCGGUCCGUUGUGGAGGAGGAGCUCCGGCCUGAACGGCUGCCUGCAUCUUCUUCUUCACCCUUCGCUUUAUGCAGCUCUCUUUUCGUUUGGUAGUCUCCGGAUUCACCGGUGCGGCGCACGUGGCGGACGUGCUCCGGGUCUGAAGGGGCAAUGAACCUCGUGAUGGGCUUUGGUGGAUCCAUCGUGGCGGUGACGAAACACACAGGAUGACGAUGUUCGGAACGGAGAAGAUGGGGUUUUGGCGAGAAAAUAGUAGGAUCCGACGCCAUGAGUUCUGUUCAUCGCACGUCAUGAUAUACUAAUAGCUGGCUCAACCAACGUGCACCAGCGACAUCUACUUGAGCCAGCACGAGGUAUAUGCACUGCUCUAGCUAACGUCAGAUAUUAUUUGUCUCUGUCCUCCUAACUGUCAGCGAUUAGCACCACCAGCUCAAAGAGGGCAAAAUUAUCACCAUUAGCGGUACCGCAGCUUCCAGUCACGUGCACAAGUGGUAGGUACAUGCAAUGGAUGUUGUAGUGUCGCGUUCUCUCCUAUGGUAGUUGGGACAUGUACAACAUCUAAAAGGAAAAUUGGGACGUUGAUAAAGAGACGCAUCUUAAAUUCGCAAUAUUAUGAUGAUAACAAUAAAAAAAAUAGUCCCAUCGAGUAUACUAAAUAAUGUACUAAAGCAAAGACAAGUAAUAUGGAUCGAAGAGAACACACUGAGUUGCCUUUUAAUCGAAUCUCUUGAAACUAGAUAUAAAUAUACGGUGAAAGAUAUUGUUGCUAAAAGACCAUCUCUUGAUUAAUUCUCUCCUUCACCCCAACAUUUAUUAUUGUGACAUUUCUAAGAUAAUACAUAUCAUUGUACACCCCCUUAGGUCAUCUCUGAGGAGAAAUCUCAAAUGGGCACCCUCAAAUGUCCCGGAAACGUCCGGUCAUGUCUCGAGACAGUCGGUCAGACGCUGACCAAAUAAAGCUAUAUUUGAAAACUCUCCUACUUAUCUGUCCCUUCCCCUUCACUUCUUUUUGUUCACUAAAUCAAUUUCUUCCAUGUUCAACAUUCAAUAGCAAUUUUACGACGCAUAUAACACUUGCAAAUAAAAACAAGCAAAACCAAAAGCACCGGAUGCCCAACAAAAAUAGCAAUUACUCGAAAGAAAAUAACGACCAGACGAGCGUUAGCGACUCGAUGAACAUGUAGUCCUUGUUGAGGUCGACGGCGAUGUACGGUUGAGGGUGGCCGGAGGUGAAGGAGGCAACAGAGUGUUGUCGCGAUUGUUGCAUGCCAGGUUCACCGUACUUUUGGGCAGCGGAGUAGUAUGACACUUUGUACUAGGCGGGCCAUGGUGGCAAUUGCCCCAGCUAGACCGACAAGGCGGUCCGUUGUGGAGGAGGAGCUCCGGCCUGAACGGCUGCCUGCAUCUUUGUCUUCACCCUUCGCUUUAUGCACCUCUCUUGUUGUUUGGUAGUCUCCGGAUUCACCGGUGCGGCGCGCGUGGCAGACGUGCUCCGGGUCCAAAGGGGCGAUGAACCUCGUUAUGGGCUUUAGUGGAUCCAUUGUGGCGGUGACAAAACAGAUAGGAUGACGAUGUUCGGAACGAAGAAGACGGGGUUUUGGCGAGAAAAUAGUAGGAUCCGACGCCAUGAGUUUUGUUCAUCGCACGUCAUGAUAUACUAAUAGCUGGCUCAACCAACAUGCACCAGCGGAUUCUAUUUGAGCCAGCACGAGGUAUAUGCACUGCUCUAGCUAACCUCAGAUAUUAUUUGUCUCUGUCCUCCUUACUGUCAGCGAUUAGCACCACCAGCUCAAAGAGGGCAAAAUUAUCACCAUUAGCGGUACCGCAGCUUCCAGUCAUGUGCACAAGUGGUAGGUACAUGCAAUGGAUGUUGUGGUGUCGCGUUGUCUCCUAUGAUAGUUGGGACAUGUACAACAUCUAAAAGGAAAAUUGGGACGUUGAUAAAGAGACCCAUCUUAAAUUCACAAUAUUAUGAUGAUAACAAUAAAAAAUAUAUAGUCCCAUGGAGUAUACUCAAAAAUGUACUAAAGCAAAGACAAGUAAUAUGGAUCGAAGAGAACACAAUGAGUUGCCUUUUAAUCGAAUCUCUUGAAACUAGAUAUAAAUAUACGGCGAAAGAUAUUGUUGCUAAAAGACCAUCUCUUGAUUAAUUCUCUCCUUCACCCCAACAUUUAUUAUUGUGACAUUUCUAAGAUAAUACAUAUCAUUGUACACCCCCUUAGGUCAUCUCUGAGGAGAAAUCUCAAAUGGGCACCCUCAAAUGUCCCGGAAACGUCCGGUCAUAUCUCCGGACAGUCGGUCAGAUGCUGACCAAAUAAGGCUAUAUCUGAAAACUCUCCUACUUAUCUGUCCCUUCCCCUUCACUUCUUUUUGUUCACUAAAUCAAUUUCUUCCAUGUUCAACAUUCAAUAGCAAUUUUACGACGCAUAUAACACUUGCAAAUAAAAACAAGCAAAACCAAAAGCACCGGAUGCCCAACAAAAAUAGCAAUUACUCGAAAGAAAAUAACGACCAGACGAGCGUUAGCGACUCGAUGAACAUGUAGUCCUUGUUGAGGUCGACGGCGAUGUACGGUUGAGGGUGGCCGGAGGUGAAGGAGGCAACAUAGUGUUGUCGUGAUUGUUGCAUGCCAGGUUCACCGUACUUCUGGGCAGCGGAGUAGUAUGACACUUUGUACUAGGCGGGCCAUGGUGGCGAUUGCCCCAGCUAGACCGACAAGGCGGUCCGUUGUGGAGGAGGAGUUCCGGCCUGAACGGCUGCCUGCAUCUUCGUCUUCACCCUUCGCUUUAUGCACCUCUUUUGUUGUUUGGUAGUCUCCGGAUUCACCGGUGCGGCGCGCAUGGCAGACGUGCUUCGGGUCCAAAGGGGCGAUGAACCUCGUUAUGGGCUUUAGUGGAUCCAUUGUGGCGGUGACGAAACAGACAGGAUGACGAUGUUCGGAACGAAGAAGAUAGGAUUUUGGCGAGAAAAUAGUAGGAUCCGACGCCAUGAGUUUUGUUCAUCGCACGUCAUGAUAUACUAAUAGCUGGCUCAACCAACAUGCACCAGCGGAUUCUACUUGAGCCAGCACGAGGUAUAUGCACUGCUCUAGCUAACCUCAGAUAUUAUUUGUCUCUGUCCUCCUUACUGUCAGCGAUUAGCACCACCAGCUCAAAGAGGGCAAAAUUAUCACCAUUAGCAGUACCGCAGCUUCCAGUCACGUGCACAAGUGGUAGGUACAUGCAAUGGAUCUUGUGGUGCCGCGUUCUCUCCUAUGGUAGUUGGGACAUGUACAAUGAUACGUCUCCAACGUAUCUAUAAUUUUUGAUUGCUCCAUGCUACAUUAUCUACUGUUUUGGACAUUAUUGGGCUUUAUUAUCCACUUUUUUAUUAUUUUUAGGACUAACCUAUUAACCGAGGCCCAGCCCAGAAUUGUUGUUUUUUUGCCUGUUUUAGGGUUUCGAAGAAAAGGAAUAUCGAACGGAGUCCAAAUGGAAUGAAACCUUCGGUAACGUGAUUUUCUCACCGAAUACAACUCAGGAGACUUGGACCCUUUGUCAAGCCAAUUAACAGGAGGCCACGAGGUAGGGGGGCGCGCCUGCCCCCAGGCGCGCCCUCCACCCUCGUGGGCCCCCUGUUGCUCCACCGACGUACUUCUUCCUCCUAUAUAUAUCCACGUACCGAUAAACGAUCAGAAACGGAGCCAAAAACCUAAUUCCACUGCUGCAACUUUCUGUAUCCAUGAGAUCCCAUCUUGGGGCCUGUUCCGGAGCUCCACCGGAGGGGGCAUCGAUCACGGAGGGCUUCUACAUCAUCAUCCAAACCCCUCCGAUGAAGUGUGAGUAGUUUACUUCAGACCUACGGGUCCAUAGUUAGUAGCUAGAUGUCUUCUUCUCUCUUUUUGGAUCUCAAUACAAUGUUCUCCCCCUCUCUCAUGGAGAUCUAUUCGAUGUAAUCUUCUUUUUGCGGUGUGUUUGUUGAGACCGAUGAAUUGUGGGUUUAUGAUUGAAAGGAUCGAUAUGGUUGACUAGGGGGGGGGGUGAAUAGGCAACUACCAAUUUUUAGCUUUUCUUUACCAAAUUAAACUUUGCAUCAAAGUAGGUUGUCUAGAUGUGCAACUAGGUGAGCAACCUAUGUGAUGCAAUAUCAACAAGCAUACAAGCAAGCAAGGUAGAAACACUAAAGAGCUUGCACAAGUAAAGGUAAGAGAUAACCAAGAGUGGAUCCGGUGGAGACGAGGAUGUGUUACCGAAGUUCCUUCCUUUUGAGGGGAAGUACGUCUCCGUUGGAGCGGUGUGGAGGCACAAUGCUCCCCAAGAAGCCACUAGGGCCACCGUAUUCUUCUCACGCCCUCACACAAUGCGAGAUGCCGUGAUUCCACUAUUGGUGCCCUUGAAGGCGGCGACCGAACCUUUACAAACAAGGUUGGGGCAAUCUCCACAACUUAAUCGGAGGCUCCCAACAAGACCACGAAGCUUCACCACAAUGGAAUAUGGCUCCGAGGUGACCUCAACCAUCUAGGGUGCUCAAACACCAAGAGUAACAAGAUCCGCUAGGGAUGAGUGGGGGAAUCGAAAAUCCCUUGGUGGAAGUGUAGAUCGGAGCCUUCUCAACCACUCCCGAGCAAAUCAACAAGUUUGAUUGGCUAGGGAGAUAGAUCAGGCAAAAUGAAGCUUGGAGUAUUUAAUGGAGCUUGAGCAAUAAAUGGAACUUUGGGGGAGGAAGAGGUGAGUGAGAAGGAGGAAGGGGACUCCCUUUUAUAGUGGGGGCAACAAUCCCGUUGCCCCCCCACCAACCAGCCCCGGACAGGGCGGUACUACCGCUGAGAGGGUGCGGUACUACCGCCAGGCGAUGGUACUACCGCGCCACCCUGCGGUACUGCCGCGCUGAGGAGACUUAGUAGGGAACGGACCCCAAUAGCAGUACUACCGCGGUGGUAGGGCGGUACUACCGCUCCUGGAACGGUACUACCGCCACUACAACCGUGACUAGUGCCGCAAAACCCGACACGAGAAAAAGACCUCUCGAAUCGAGGCAGUGAGCCAGAAUACCCAGCGGUACUAAGGCAGUGGGGUCAAGGGCGGUAGUACCGCUGUGGAGCGGUACUGCCACUUGUGACCCUUCGGCCGUAGUACCGCAGGCAGUGCGGUACUACCGCUGGGGCGCACGCGCGAGAGAGAAGGGAUCUCUCAAAAAUGCUGAGGACACGGCGGAUGUGCCAGGCCCCCAGCGGUACUACUGCUGUGGAGCCACAGCGGUACUACCGCUGCAAACGGUACUGCCGCUUGUGGCUUCUCAGCGGUACUACCGCUGGGUGCGCGGUACUGCCGCUUAGACCCAGACAGAACAAGGAAGAGAGGAGAGAUCUCUUCAAUGGACAGGAAAAGCUCGGAGGGUGAGAAGCUGAUGUGUACGUGAUGAUUCCACCCAUGCAAAACCCCAGCGGACCCCCUCUUGAUAGUACGGUGCCCUCUACGCAACUAGUCCACCGAGAAAGAAACGAAAGAGCUACACCAUCUUGAAAUACACUCUGAGGGGAAGAAAGUGUCUCGUGCCAGGGGAGAAUCUGUGAAUUAUUCAAAGCACAAGAUUAGUCCGCAAACAUGUCGUCAUCAAUCACCAAAACUACCUUGAGAGAGAUAUGCCGUAACAAUCUCCCCCUUUUUGGUGGAUUGAUGACAACUAGGGAUUUGCGCAAGGAAAAGAAAUAAAAUGAAGAAAGCUAAGAACUACAAAAUAUAGACGGGCUCCCCCAGAAUGUGUGCACCAAGAGAUGGCACGACCCACACAUUCGGAUCAAAACUCCCCCUAUAUUUUAUAGUCCAACAAUACUAAGCACAAGAUAUAUGAGAGAAUUGAAUAAACAGGACAAGCGUGCAUCUCACAAUAAACUACAGUACUCAGACAUGACAUAAGUAAUAAGGUAGCGAUAGGGAGCAUAUGUCUCACACCAUAUGUCUAGAGCUUAGGGCUCACACCAAACCAAACCAAAGAAGGACACCAAGAGAACACACAAGAAACCACAAGACGACACAAAACACGACACAAGAGGCAAAUCCCUACACUCUCUCCCCCUUUGGCAGCGAGACACCAAAAAGGGCAUAGAGUGACACUACGACUCCAGGUGAUGGGAGGUGGAAGAGCUCGAACAUCACAUCUCUGCAUCUUCAUCGUGGGUCGAGAACUGCUCGGCAUCGGAGUCGGUCCAGUGGCAAUUUUGAUGAAUCCAGUCCUCCUCUUCAGUGAUCUGACCCUCAGACCCACUAGCAACUGUUGCUCCCAUCUGACGCAUGAGCUCCUUGUGGCGCGUCCUGGCAUGCUUCUCCGCCACACGAGUCAUGUACUGACCAUGAGACUCCAUGCAGAAAAGCUUCUUCAUCUUGCGCUUAAGCUUCUGUGCCCAUGAAGGUUCAGCACUAGUGGAACCAAAAUCCUCCUCAUGAGCAUCAGUAGCAGCCUCACCCUCGGUCCCCAUGGCAGCAGCAGCAGCAGCAGGCGGACCCCUUGGGGCAGCAGUAGCAGAUGGACCCCCUAUGUGAGGCGCUGUCCGGUUGUCCUUCUUCCUCAGACGCUUGAUCUCAUGAGAAACCAAGUCUCCAGUCUCUAGCAGCACUCUGGGAUAAGUCUGUGCCCAGGCCCUCUCAAUGAGCCUCAUGAUGAAUGGACCAUAGAUAGGACACUUGCGCUCAGACACGGCAGAUAGAAGUUCACACCACAUGACAUGAGAGAUAUCCAGGCUCUCUCCAGUGCUUGCUUCCUUCUCAUGCUGACAGAAAAGGAGCAUGUCCACGAGGUAAGAGUGGACCAUAUCCAGAUUCCCAAUCCGAGGGAAGAGAGUCUCACGGAAUAUGCGAUGAAGAAUGUCCAGAUACGGAGACAACUCAUAGGUCUUCUUCUCAGUUACUGGGUGAACCUUCACAGUGCAGUAGGGCCAAAGGGCUUGCUUGUGGGUGGAUGUAGCAUUGCGGUGAGGACGGAAACCGACAGGAGUCUCAAGCCCGGUAUCCACCACAUCAAGUAACUCCAUGAAAGCCUUCCACUUGACAGAAAGCAGCUUGCCAUUGGUCAUCCAUGUCAGAGUCCUGUUGACAUCCGUCCCAAGAUGGACGGUGGCAUAGAAUUGAGCUACCAAAUCCGCAUCAAAGUCCUUGUUGAAUUGCAUGAUCCUGAGAAUGUUCAGCUGAGUGCACAUCUGAAGAGCUUCGCCAAAGUACUCCGGAUCCUUCUCCAUAGCAUCAGUGUCGAUGGAGUGAACAUCAACAAAAAGAUUCUUCUUGGCCUUGAUCACAUCAAAGUAGAUGGCAAACUGAAAACGGUUCCAGAACGGGUGGUUGACCAAAGUGGGUUCUUGGUCCACCGCAUAGGGGUUGCGGCGACGCUUCUCCCAAAACUCCUUGUUGGUCAUCUCAGUCACAGUCUUCUCGCUUCGAUUGCUGAGGAGGUGGAGGAGCACAUGCAGAAGCACUUGUUGGAGGCGGUUGGGUGCUCGAGGAACCACCGGCAGGCUCUGAGGUGCGGUAGCAUUUUGAUGUGGCACGCCCGGGGUUGAUAUGGUGACCUUGCUGCUCGGAAUGGUCAUCACCUGGAGCCAAACACAAGAACAACGCGAAACAACCAGAAAGAACGAGCAUAAGCCAACAACACAACAAAAGAUCAAGGUAAGGCAGGAGAAUGAUGGAAAUUGGCAUGCAACGGUAGUACCGUGACCUGCCCGCGGUAGUACCGCCCCAAAGGGAGCGGUAGUACCGCUCUAGGUCAAGCGGUAGUACCGCUCCAAAGGGAGCGGUAGUACGGCUUGAGGCGGAUAAACAACAGUUUCAAAGCACGAGGCGGUGAAACAGUGGUUUCCUACUACCGUGGUCAGAUCCGGCACUACCGACCUACCAAAUUCAAAAAUAAUCCUACCAAACUCUAAUCUAGAUAGUCUAGUUGCCUUCUCCAAUCAACUCAAGCCUAGAUUUCGCCAAAAAUCUAGAGAUGCAACCACCAUUGCCCCUAAGAAACAAGAACUAAAAGGAGACAAAACGAAAGAAAGAACGGGGGCAAUACCAGCAUCCAUGGCAAGAGGACGUGGUGGGGAUCGACUCCACCAAAGGAAAUGGAGAGGGACGCCCCAAAGACGGAGAUCUACCGGAGCACUCCCGCUCUCUAGAGGAGGCUGGAGAGAGGAAGAGAAAAGAGGGGCGAAGUGAAUGGGUAUGGGGGAGAAGAAACCUCCCCCUGCCCCCGACUUAACCCCCUGUUCUCGUCCCCCAGCAGUAGUACCAUGCUGGGGGGCGGUAGUACCGCUCACGAGCGGUAGUACCGCCUAGCGCACCACGGUAACUAAACAGACACGGCUUAGCUCGACGAAACGAAAAAAACCGGCAAACACACCAGCAAACGACCAAGACACGCCUCUUCACAAGAGGGCGGUGGCCGAGGCCACCUAUGUUUGAGUCAAAAGGUAUGGCACCGCGAAGAUUUUAACCUUGGGCCCAUGACCAAAACUCGUCUUUUAAGCACAAGUGCCAUCAACAAUGGCUAAAGUGAAAGACUUGAUCAAUUUAUGCAUAAUGGGGGGAGGGAGAGUUCAUUGAGAGAACAACACUCCCCCUAUGUCCAUGCCUACACCUAAACUAGACAACAAAUUGAGCGUGGUAGGGUGUGCAAGGGUUCAAGCCACAUUGCUUGAAUCAAUGAUAUUUAGCUCAUGCCUUAACUCGCGAAAUCUUGCUUCAUCCAAGGGCUUCGUGAAAAUAUCUGCAAGGUUGUCAUGAGUGUUGACAUAGUUGAGCUCGAUCUCUCCUCGCCUAAUAUGAUCCCGGAUGAAGUGAUACCGAAUCUCAAUAUGCUUCGUCUUGAAGUGUUGCACCGGGUUGAGAGAAAUCUUGAUGGCACUUUCAUUGUCACACCAAAGAGGCACUUUGUCACAAGUGACACCGUAAUCCUUUAAAGUUUGCCUCAUCCAUAGAAGUUGUGCACAACAACUACCGGCGGCAACAUACUCCGCCUCAGUGGACGAGAGAGACACACAACUUUGCUUUUUGGAAGACCAACUUACCAAAGAGCAACCAAGGAAUUGGCACCCUCCGGAAGUGGACUUCCUAUCCACUUUGUCUCCCGCCCAAUCGGAAUCCGAGUACCCUACAAGCUUGAAGUUUGAUCCUCUUGGGUACCAUAAGCCAAAGUUUGGGGUAUGAACCAAAUAUCGAAAGAUUCGUUUGACCGCCACAUAGUGACUUUCCUUAGGUGCGGCUUCAAACCGUGCACAAAUUCCCACACUCAACAUGAUGUCCGGUCUAUAUGCACAAAGGUAAAGCAAGGAACCAAUCAUGGAACAAUAUACCUUUUGAUCCACCACUUUACCAUUGGGAUCUAAGUCAAGUUGGCACUUGGUGGGCAUUGGAGUGGAGGCCGGCUUGACGUCACUUAGCUUGAAUCUCUUGAGCAUGUCUUGGCUGUAUUUGGAUUGAUUAAUGAAGGUUCCUUCUCUUCUUUGCUUCACUUCGAACCCUAGAAAGAACUUCAACUCUCCCAUGGAGGACAUCUCGAACUUUGAGGUCAUGAGAGCGGCAAAUUCCUCAUUGAAAGCUUUGUUAGGAGAACCAAAGAUAAUAUCAUCAACAUAUAAUUGGCACACAAACAACUCCCCUUUGACCUUCUUAGUAAAAAGAGUGGGGUCGAUUAGCCCAACUUCAAAACCAUGAUCUUGUAACAACUCGGUAAGGUGGUCAUACCACACACGUGGGGCUUGUUUAAGGCCAUAGAGUGCCUUAUCGAGUUGAUACACAUGAUCGGGAAAGUAGGGAUCCUCGAACCCGGGGGGUUGCUUGACGUAAACCAAUUCAUUAAUGGGACCAUUAAGAAAAGCACUCUUCACAUCCAUUUGUUGUAACUUAAAGUUAUGAUGAGAAGCAUAUGCAAUCAACAUGCGAAUGGAUUCAAGACGAGCAACGGGAGCAAAGGUUUCACCGUAGUCGAUACCCUCGACUUGGGAGUAGCCUUGUGCUACCAAACGGGCCUUGUUGCGAAUGAUAAUCCCAUGGGCAUCUUGCUUGUUCUUGAAUAUCCACUUGGUUCCAAUGACAUUAUGGUUCCCCGUUGGCCUUGGCACCAAUCUCCACACUUUGUUGCGCUCGAAGUUGUUGAGUUCUUCGUGCAUGGCAUUGAGCCAAUCCGGAUCUUCUAGCGCCUCAUAGACCUUGUGGGGUUCCACACAAGAGACAAACACGUGAUGCUCACAAUAAUUUGCUAAUUUUCUACGAGUGCUUACCCCCUUUCUUAAGCUUCCAAGCACAUUCGUCAUGAGAUGAUCCUUGGUGGAGAGCUUGGAAGCAACCUUGGCGGCACGACGCUCUAAUUCCUCCUCGGUGGUGAGUUGAGGAGCGGUUUGAUCAUCUUGAGUGUCGUCAUGAACUUGUUGUUGAUCUUGAACUUUCUCGAGGGAGAGAACUUGACUUUGGGCAUCACUUGGUGUGUCAACACCGUCUUGAGUAUGAUCUUGCCCUUGGUCUUGUUCAAGAGGUUGAGGGCCUUCACUUUGUUCUUUGGAAGCAUGUGGGCCUUGGGUUGGUGAUGGCUCCACUUGAGUGGAGCAUUGUCCUUCUCCUUCGGCCACAAGGGGUUCCUCAAUGGGUAGGAUGAAACCUACACCCAUUCUUCUUAUGGCUUGAGGAGGAAUUUCAUCACCUACAUCACAAGUGCCACUUUGCUCCACUUGGGAGCCGUUAUUCUCAUCAAACUCCACGUUACACGUCUCCUCAAUAAGUCCCGUGGAUUUAUUGAGUACACGGUAAGCAUGAGAGUUUGUAGCAUAACCAACGAAUAUGCCCUCAUAAGCUCUAGCCUCAAAUUUAGACAACCGAACACCUUUCUUGAGAAUGAAACACUUACACCCGAAUACUCGGAAGUACUUGAGAUUGGGCUUGUUACCGGUUAGUAUCUCAUAUGGAGUCUUGUUCAAGCCCUUGCGGAGGUAGAGCCGAUUGGAUGCAUGACACGCGGUGUUGAUGGCUUUGGCCCAAAAGUUGUACGGAGACUUGAACUCCGCCAUCAUGGUCCUUGCCGCAUCCAUCAAUGUCCGGUUCUUCCUCUCCGCAACACCGUUUUGUUGAGGGGUGUAUGGUGCGGAAUAUUGAUGCUUGAUUCCCUCAUCACUAAGAAAUUCAUCCAAGGUGUAGUUCUUGAACUCGGUGCCGUUGUCACUUCUUAUUGUCAAGAUCUUUGCAUUAUGUUGACGUUGUGCUUCAUUUGCAAAGUCAAUGACAGUUUGUUGGGUCUCGCUCUUCCUCUUGAAGAAAUACACCCACGUGUACCUUGAGUAGUCAUCCACAAUCACCAAGCAAUACUUUCUACCUCCAAGACUAUCGAAGGAUGGGGGCCCAAAAAGAUCCAUGUGAAGGAGCUCCAAAGGCCUCUUUGAAUAAAUGAUAGUCGUGGGAGGGUGAGCCUUCUCAUGUAGCUUUCCUUCGAUACAGGCACUGCAAGCACGAUCUUUAACAAAACUAACAUUCGUUAGUCCACGGACAUGGUCCCCCUUGAGAAGACUUUGCAAAGAUCUCAUAUUGACAUGGGCUAAACAGCGAUGCCAAAGCCAUCCCACAUCAACUUUAGCCAUUAGGCAUGUCGCGGUCUUAGUGGGUCGCUCCGAAAAGUUAAUCACAUAUAGACCGUUCUCGACAUGCCCAACAAAAGCUACUUUAAGAGUCUUGCUCCACAAGAGGGCCACGGUAUCGAUAUCAAAGAAAGUGGCAAAGCCCAUGAUUGCAAGUUGACGAACAGAAAGUAAAUUGUACGCAAGGGACUCAACAAGCAUGACCUUCUCGAUCGUGAGAUCAUGAGAGAUGACCACCUUGCCAAGUCCCAAUACCUUAGAGGAUGAGGCGUCACCCCACUCGACAUUGGUGGGCAUAGAUGGAACUUUGUGCACGUCCACCACCAAGUCCUUGCUUCCGGUCAUAUGUUUUUUAGCUCCGCUAUCGAGCAACCAUGAUCCACCUCCGGAAGCAAACACCUACAAGAUAUCAAUGCUUGGUUUUAGGUACCCAUUUUGUUAUGGGUCCUCUGAUGUUAGUAACAAGGGUCUUAGGAACCCAAAUAGACCAUUCAAUGUACUCAUGAAGAGAACCAACAAAUUUGUCAUAAACAUGCCCAUCACUAGCACGGCAUAACACAUAAGAAGGAUUAAAACCGCCAGCUUUGUUGGGAGGGAUGACAUUUCCCUUCUUGACAUUGUUCUUCUUCUUCUCCUCGGGGGCACUCUCUCCCUCCCUCACAAAGGUUUGCAUGAGGGGAGGAGGUCGUUUGGUCUUGUCAUUCUUCUUCUUGUUCUUGGAGUCGGGCACGUACCCAACCCCUUCCUUGGCCACACCUCCCUUUUGGUUGAUCAAGAGAUCGUUGAGGUUCUUCUUUCCUUGUAUGCAAGUCGCAAGACCUCUCUCAAGUUGCUCCUUCAACUUAGCAUUUUCCUCAACAAGAUGUAUAUGCUCACAACACGAGUAGCAUUUGCAUUAUCAAUUAAAACCAUAUGAGGAAAAGUUGCUUUCUCCUUAGUUAGCUUCACUUGGAGUUGAUCAUGAGACUCCUUGAGACUAGCGUGAAUACCCUUCAAGGACUUGUGGGCCUUGUCAAGUAUAUCAAACUCCUGUUUGAGUCUAGCAAGAUCAACCCUAAGUUUGGCCUUCUCGGAAUUUAGCACACGAGAAACAAUGAGGGCAUGAUCAUAAUCUUUCUUUAACUUAGCAUGAUCAACGUUGUGUGACUCCUCAAGAGCCAAACGAAGACCACGCUCUUCCUCAAGAGCAUUGGAAAGAUUCGAAAUCUCAUCGGCAUAGUCACGACUAUGCCCUUCCAUCUUAGAGAUGGUAUCUUCGUGAGCCUCGAUCAUGUCAUUGGCCUCACCAAGUUGUUCCAAGAGAGCAACAAAGUGCUUCUUGGAUUUUCCCUUGAGUUUGCCCAUAAAAGCCUCAAACUCGUUAGCCUCCACAUUAGCUCCCUCAAGUUCAUUAAUGCUAUCCAUUGGGGAAGGAUGAUUAAUGAUGGUAGUUUUGAUGUUGGAGGUUACCUUGUUGGUGGCUUUAUCCAUGAGGCAUUUGGCGGUGAUGCUCUCGUUGGGUGAGUCAAAGAGAGACACCCGUGAUGUUGUUGCAAUGGCAACGGAGGCCAUGGCAACCGACUCAUCAUCUUCAUCAUCGUCAUCAUCAUCAUUGUACUCUUCUUGCACAACCAAAGCCUUGGGAGGAGUCUUCUUGGUGAAGUUGUUCUUGUUGGGGAACGACUUGGCCUUGUCCUUUCAGAUGAGUUUGCCACCAUUGUCUUCUCUCUUCUCAUAUGGGCAUUCCGCAACUAAAUGACUCACGUUGCCGCAAUUGUAGCAAGUUCUUACAUGUUGCUUGCUCCUUGUGCCACUCGAGUUGUUUUUGCUAAAGUUGGGCCUCGAGUUUUUCUUGCUCCAAAAUUGCCUUGAAGCAAGUGCCAUGUGUUCAUGAUAUGCAUACUUCGUAUCUUCGGGGUUGCUCUCCUCUUCUUCCUCUUCUUCUUCUUCCACGGUGAGCUUGGCCUUCAAUGCAAGGUUAGGCUUCUUUGCCCGUUGAGAACGGAGCACCGCAUUGUCGGCGGUCUUGUCCAAAAUGUUCAUGGCCACAAACUCAUCCAACACUUCGCUUGAGGUCAAAGUGUGGAAGUCCGGUCUUUGACGAAUGACGGAGGACAUGGCCUUGUGGUAGGGCAUCAUUGCCUUGAGGAAUUUGCGCUUGAUCCAAUUGUCAUCCGUGUCCUUGCUCCCUGAUCUCGUAGUGAGACCGCGAGUUUGGUUACUCUCCGAUAAAGCUCACGAGGUUCUUCAUCUUCCUUCAUUGCAAACUCAUCGGCCUCAUCUUGUACCACUUCAUAGUUGGACCAUUGAAUGCUUGCACUUCCCCGAUAGAGAGACACGACACAAUGCCAUGCAUCUUUGGCCAAGGCGAAGGGACGAAGAUGAGGUAGGUCUUCAGGUGGAAUUGCAUCUUGAAUGAUGAAGAGAGCAUUCUCAUUGAAUUGAUUGUCCGCGGCUUCUCGAGGAGUGAAGUUGCUUGGAUCAUGUGGAUAGAAACCUUCUUCAAUGAUUCUCCAAAGGUUAGUGUUCACAUGAUUUAAAUGACGUUUAAAGUGGUAAACCCAAGAAUCAAAAUCCUCAUUUUUCACAAUCUUAGGGGAGGACCGGCAUGAUUCAAAUGAGUGGAGGGAACCGGUCCACCAUAAACAAGUGGUGGUUUCACAUGGGCAAAGAUGCCGGUGCCAUUCUUGCCACUAGAAGAAGGAGCCUUUUCACUACUAGCUUCCCCCUUGUCAGGGAUAGCAUUCGACACCUUGUUGGCGGGAUCACCCACUUUCAACGGUGCGGUGGAAAGUUUAAGCCCCUCAAGAAAUUUAGUAAACAUGCUUUCAACUUCGGUCGUCAUGGAGGUUUUCAAUGUCUCCAAGGCCACAUUGAAAUCCUCACGAGAGAUCGAAGUUCCCCCAUCUCCCGUAGACAAGAUCGGAUUCACACCGGAGUGUUCCUCCACACCGUCUACGGUAUCAACCAUACUCUUUGGACGGUAAAGUCCUUAAUAAAGAGACGACGCUCUGAUGCCAAUUGAAAGGAUCGAUAUGGUUGACUAGAGGGGGGAUGAAUAGGCAACUACCAAUUUUUAGUUUUUCUUUACCAAAUUAAACUUUGCAUCAAAGUAGGUUGUCUAGAUGUGCAACUAGGUGAGCAACCUAUAUGAUGCAAUAUCAACAAGCAUACAAGCAAGCAAGGGUAGAAACACUAAAGAGCUUGCACAAGUAAAGGUAAGAGAUAACCAAGAGUGGAUCCGGUGGAGACGAGGAUGUGUUACCGAAGUUCCUUCCUUUUGAGGGGAAGUACGUCUCUGUUGGAGUGGUGUGGAGGCACAAUGCUCCCCAAGAAGCCACUAGGGCCACUGUAUUCUCCUCACGCCCUCACACAAUGCGAGAUGCCGUGAUUCCACUAUUGGUGCCCUUGAAGGCGGCGACCGAACCUUUACAAACAAGGUUGGGGCAAUCUCCACAACUUAAUCGGAGGCUCCCAACAAGACCAUGAAGCUUCACCACAAUGGAAUAUGGCUCCGAGGUGACCUCAACCAUCUAGGGUGCUCAAACACCCAAGAGUAACAAGAUCCACUAGGGAUGAGUGGGGGAAUCGAAAAUCCCUUGGUGGAAGUGUAGAUCGGAGCCUUCUCAACCACUCCCGAGCAAAUCAACAAGUUUGAUUGGCUAGGGACAUAGAUCGGGCAAAAUGAAGCUUGGAGUAUUUAAUGGAGCUUGAGCAAUAAAUGGAGCUUUGGGGGAGGAAGAGGUGAGUGAGAAGGAGGAAGGGGACUCCCUUUUAUAGUGGGGGCAACAAUCCCGUUGCCCCCCACCAACCAGCCCCGCACAGGGCGGUACUACCGCUGAGAGGGGGCGGUACUACCGCCAGGCGGCGAUACUGCCGCGCCACCCUGCGGUACUGCCGCGCUGCGGAUUCUUAGUAGGGAACGGACCCCAAUAGCGGUACUACCGCGGUGGUAGGGCAGUACUACCGCUCCUGGAACGGUACUACCGCCACUACAACCGUGACUAGUGCCGCAAAACCCGACACGAGAAAAAGACCUCUCGAAUCGAGGAAGUAGGAGCCAGACUACCCAGCGGUACUACGGCAGUGGGGUCAAGGGCGGUAGUACCGCUGUGGAGCGGUACUACCGCUUGUGACCCUUCGGCCGUAGUACCGUAGGCAGUGCGGUACUACCGCUGGGGCGCGCGCGAGAGAGAGAAGGGAUCUCUCAAAAAUGCUGAGGACACGGUGGAUGUGCCAGGCCCCCAGCGGUACUACUGCUGUGGAGCCACAGCGGUACUACCGCUGCGAAGCGGUACUGCCGCUUGUGGCUUCUCAGCGGUACUACCGUUGGGUGCACGGUACUGCCGCUUAGACCCAAACAGGACAAGGAAGAGAGGAGAGAUCUCUUCAAUGGACAGGAAAAGCUCAGAGGGUGAGAAGCUGAUGUGUACGUGAUGAUUCCACCCAUGCAAAACCCCAGCGGACCCCCUCUUGAUAGUACGGUGCCCUCUACGCAACUAGUCCACCAAGAAAGAAAUGAAAGAGCUACACCGUCUUGAAAUACACUUCGAGGGGAAGAAAGCGUCUCGUGCCAGGGGAGAAUCUGUGAAUUAUUCAAAGCACAAGAUUAGUCCGCAAACAUGUUGUCAUCAAUCACCAAAACUACCUUGAGAGAGAUAUGCCGUAACAAUGAUCAAGUCUAUCUAUGAAUAAUAUUUGAAUCUUCUCUGAAUUCUUUUAUGUAUGAUUGGUUAUCUUUGCAAGUCUCUUCGAAUUAUCAGUUUGGUUUGGCCUACUAGAUUGGUUUUUCUUGCCAUGGGAGAAGUGCUUAGCUUUGGGUUUGAUCUUGCGGUGUCCUUUCCUAGUGACAGAAGGGGAAGCGAGGCACGUAUUGUAUCGUUGCCAUCAAGGAUAACAAGAUGGGGUUUUUAUCAUAUUGCAUGAAACUAUCCCUCUACAUCAUGUCAUCUUGCUUAAGACGUUACUCUGUUUUUAACUUAAUACUCUAGAUGCAUGCUGGAUAGCGGUCGAUGAGUGGAGUAAUAGUAGUAGAUGCAGGUAGGAGUCGGUCUACUUGUCUCGGACGUGAUGCCUAUAUACAUGAUCAUACCUAGAUAUUCUCAUAACUAUGCUCAAUUCUGUCAAUUGCUCAACAGUAAUUUGUUCACCCACCGUAGAAUACUUAUGCUCUUGAGAGAAGCCACUAGUGAAACCUAUGGCCCCCGGGUCUCUUUCUCAUCAUAUCAAUCUCCAUCACUUUAUUAUUGCUUUGCUUUUACUUUGCUUUUACUUUUUACUUUGCAUCUCUAUACCAAAAAUACCAAAAAUAUUAUUUAUCAUCUCUAUCAGAUCUCACUUUCGUAAGUGACCGUGAAGGGAUUGACAACCCCUAAGCGCAUUGGUUGCGUUGAGCUAUUGUUUUUGUGUAGGUACGAGGUACUCGCGCGUAGCCUCCUACUGGAUUGAUACCUUGGUUCUCAAAAACUGAGGGAAAUACUUACGCUACUUUGCUGCAUCAUCCUCUCCUCUUCGGGGAAAUCCAACACAGUGCUUAAGAGGUAGCAAGAAGAAUUUCUGGCGCCGUUGCCAGGGAGUCUGCGCAAAAGUCAACAUACCAAGUACCCAUCACAAUCCCUAUCUCCCGCAUUACAUUAUUUGCCAUUUGCCUCUCGUUUUCCUCUCCCCCACUUCACCCUUGCCGUUUUAUUCGCCCUCUCUCUCUAUCCUCCCUCUCUUUCUCUAUUUGCCUUUUUUUGCCCGUUUGCCUUUUGUUUGCUCGUGUGUUGGAUUGCUUGUUUGUCAUGAUGGCUAAAGAUAAUACUAAAUUGUGUGACUUCACCAAUACCAACAACAAUCAUUUCCUUAGCACUCCGAUUGCUCCUCUCACCGAUGCUGAAUCUUGUGAAAUUAAUACUGCUUUGCUGAAUCUUGUCAUGAAAGAUCCGUUCUCCGGCCUUCCUAGUGAAGAUGCCGCUACCCAUCUAAAUAGCUUCGUUGAUUUGUGUGACAUGCAAAAGAAGAAAGAUGUGGAUAAUGAUAUUGUUAAAUUGAAGCUAUUUCCUUUUUCGCUUAGAGAUCGUGCUAAAGCUUAGUUUUCGUCUUUGCCUACAAAUAGUAUUGAUUCAUGGAACAAGUGCAAAGAUGCUUUUAUCUCUAAGUAUUUUCCUCCCGCUAAGAUCAUCUCUCUUAGAAACGAUAUUAUGAAUUUUAAGUAACUUGAUCAUGAACGUGUUGCACAAGCUUGGGAGAGAAUGAAAUUAAUGAUACGUAAUUACCCUACUCAUGGUUUAAAUUUGUGGAUGAUUAUACAAAUAUUUUAUGCCGGAUUGAAUUUUGCUUCUAGAAAUCUUUUAGAUUCAGCCGUGGGAGGCACCUUUAUGGAAAUCACUUUAGGAGAAGCUACUAAACUCCUAGAUAAUAUUAUGGUUAAUUAUUCUCAAUGGCAUACUGAAAGAUCUACUAAUAAAAAGGUGCAUGCGAUAGAAGAAAUUAAUGUUUUGAGUGGAAAGAUGGAUGAACUUAUGAAAUUAUUUGCUAAUAAGAGUGUUUCUUCUGAUCCUAAUGAUGUGCCCUUGUCUACUUUGAUUGAAAAUAAUAAUGAGUCUAUGGAUGUGAAUUUUGUUGGUAGGAACAAUUUUGGUAACAACGCGUAUAGAGGAAAUUUUAAUCCUAGGCCUUAUCCUAGUAAUCCCUCUAAUAAUUAUGGUAAUUCCUACAACAAUUCUUAUGGAAAUUAUAAUAAGAUGCCCUCUGAUUUUGAAUCUAAUAUUAAAGAAUUUAUUUCUUCGCAAAAGAAUUUUAAUGCUAUGAUUGAAGAAAAAUUGCUUAAGAUUGAUGAUUUGGCUAGGAACGUUGAUAGAAUUUCUCUUGAUAUUGAUUCUUUGAAACUAAGAUCUAUUCCACCUAAGCAUGAUAUCAAUGAGUCUAUCAAAGCCAUGAGAAUUUCCAUUUACGAGUGCAAAGAAAGAACCGCUAGGAUGCGUGCUAAGAAAGAUGCCUUUAUAAAAGCGUGUUCUUCUAGUUCCUAUGAAAAUAAUGAUGAAGAUCUAAAAGUUAUUGAUGUGUCCCCUAUUAAAUCUUUUUUUGCAAUAUGAAUCUUGAUAAUGAUGGGACUGAAUAUGAUCCACCUUUACCUAGAAGGCGUUCCAAGAAUUUGAAUCUUUUGAUCUUGAUGCUAAAUUUGAUAAAAGUGGGAUUGAAGAAAUUAAAACCCUAGAUGUUGCUAAACCCACUAUUAUGGAUUUCAAGGAAUUUAACUAUGAAAAUUGCUCUUUGAUUGAUUUUAUUUCCUUAUUGCAAUCUGUGCUAAAUUCUCCUCACGCUUGUAGUCAAAAUAAAGCAUUUACUAAACAUAUCGUUGAUGUCUUGGUGCAAUCUUAUGAAGAAAAACUUGAAUUGGAAGUUUCUAUCCCUAGAAAACUUUAUGAUAAGUGGGAACCAACUAUUAAAAUUAAAAUUAAAGAUCAUAAGUUUUAUGCUUUGUGUGAUUUGGGUGCUAGUGUCUCUACUAUUCCCAAAACUUUGUGUGAUUUGCUAGAUUUCCGUAAUUUUGAUGAUUGCUCUCUAAACUUGCAUCUUGCGGAUUCCACUAUUAAGAAACCUAUGGGAAGAAUUAAUGAUGUUCUUAUUGUUGCAAAUAGGAAUUAUGUGCCCAUAGAUUUUAUCGUUCUUGAUAUAUAUUGCAGUCCUUCUUGCCCUAUUAUUCUCGGUAGACCUUUCCUUAGAACGGUUGGUGCAAUUAUUGAUAUGAAGGAAGGGAAUAUUAGAUUCCAAUUUCCAUUAAAAAAGGGCAUGGAACACUUCCCUGGAAAGAAAAUAAAAUUACCAUAUGAAUCUAUCAUGAGAGCCACUUAUGGAUUGCCUACCAAAGAUGGCAAUACCUAGAUCUAGUCUUGUUUGUUAUGCCUAGCUAGGGGCGUUAAACGAUAGCGCUUGUUGGGAGGCAACCCAAUUUUAUUUUUAUUCCUUGCUUUUUGAUCCUGUCUAUUAAUAAAUAAAUUAUUUAGCCUCUGUUUUGGUUGUGUUUUUUGUGUUUAAUUAGUGUUUGUGCCAAGUAGAACCGUUGGGAAGACUUGGAGAAAGUCUUGUUGAACUUGCUGUAAAAAACAGAAACUUUAGCGCUCACGAGAAAUGCUGCCAUUUUUAUUUGGAGAGGGAUAUUUAGUUAAUUCUUUUUUAAGAUGAUUAAUAGAUAAAUUUCUCAUGUCCAACAAUUUAUUUUAGAAUUUUUGGGGUUCCAGAUCUUGCGCUAGCUGCAGAUUUCUACAUACUGUUCUGUUUUUGACAGAUUCUGUUUUUCGUGUGUUGUUUGCUUAUAUUGAUGAAUCUAUGGCUAAUAAAAUAGUUUAUAAAUCAUAGAGAAGUUGGAAUACAGUAGGUAUAACACCCAUAUAAAUAAAUAAUGAGUUCAUUACAGUACUUUGAAGUGGUCUUUUGUUUUCUUUCACUAACGGAGCUCACGAGAUUUUCUACUUUAAGUUUUGUGUUGUGAAGUUUUCAAGUUUUGGGUAAAGAUUUGAUGGAUUAUGGAACAAGGAGUGGCAAGAGCCUAAGGUUGGGGAUGCCCAUGGAACCCUCAAGAUAAUAUAAGGACACCUAAAAGCCAAAGCUUGGGGAUGCCCCGGAAGGCAUCCCCUCUUUCGUCUACUUCUAUCGGUAACUUUACGUGGAGCUAUAUUUUUAUUCACCACAUGAUAUGUGUUUUGCUUGGAGCAUCUUUUAUGAUUUGAGUCUUUUCUUGUUAGUCUACCACAAUCAUCCUUGCUGUACACACCUUUUGAGAGAGCCAAACAUAAUUUGGAAUUUGAUAGAAUACUCUAUGUGCUUCACUUAUAUCUUUUGAGUUAUAUAAUUUUGCUCUAGUGCUUCACUUAUAUCUUUUAGAGCACAGUGGUGGAUUUGUUUUAUAGAAACUAUUGAUCUCUCAUGCUUCACUUAGAUUAUUUUGAGAGUCUUAAUAGCAUGGUAAUUUGCUUAAUAAUAAUAUGCUUGGUAUUCAAGAUUUGUAAAACUUUCUUUUGAGUGCGUUGAAUACUAAGAAAAAAAAUUGAUGCUUGAUAAUUGUUUUGAGAUAUGAGGAUGGUAAUAUUAGAGUCAUGUUAGUUGAGUAGUUGUGAAUUUGAGAAAUGCUUGUGUUAAAGUUUGUGAUUCCCGUAGCAUGCAUGUAUGGUGAACCGUUAUGUGAUGAAGUCAGAGCAUGAUUUAUUUAUUGAUUGUCUUUCUUAUGAGUGGCGGUCGGGGACGAGCGAUGGUCUUUUCCUACCAAUCUAUCCCCCUAGGAGCAUGCGCGUAAUACUUUGCUUUGAUAACUUCUAGAUUUUUUCAGUAAGUAUAUGAGUUCUUUAUGACUAAUGUUGAGUCCAUGGAUUAUACGCACUUUUCUUCCUUCCACCAUUGCUAGCCUCUCUAAUACCGCUCACUUUUCGCCGGUAUCAUACACCCACCAAAUACCUUCCUCAAAACAGCCACCAUACCUACCUAUCAUGGCAUUUCCAUAGCCAUUCCGAGAUAUAUUGCCAUGCAACUUUCCACCGUUCCAUUCAUUAUGACACGCUCCAUCAUUGUCAUAUUGCUAGUAUGAUCAUGUAGUUGACAUCGUAUUUGUGGCAAAGCCACCGUUCAUAAUUCUUUCAUACAUGUCACUCUUGAUUCAUUGCAUAUCUCGGUACAUCGCCGGAGGCAUUCAUAUAGAGACAUAUUUUGUUCUAAGUAUUGAGUUGUAAUUGUUGAGUUGUAAGAAAAAUAAAAAGUGUGAUGAUCAUCAUUUUUAGAGCAUUGUCCCAAGUGAGGAAAGGAUGAUGGAGACUAUGAUUCCCCCACAAGUCGGGAUGUGACUCCGGACGAAAAUUUAAAAAAAAUAAAGAGGCCAUAAAAAAAAGAGAAGACCCAAAAAAAUGAGAGAAAAAGAGAGAAGGGACAAUGUUACUAUCCCUUUACCACGCUUGUGCUGCAAAGUAGCACCAUGAUCCUCAUGAUAGAGAGUCUCUCAUUCUGUCACUUUCAUAUACUAGUGGCAAUUUUUCAUUAUAGAACUUGGCUUGUAUUUUCCAAUGAUGGGCCUCCUCAAAAUGCCCUAAGUCUUCGUGAGCAAGCGAGUUGGAUGCACACCCACUUAGUUUCUUUAGUUGAGCUUUCAUAUACUUAUAGCUCUAGUGCAUCUGUUGCAUGGCAAUCCCUACUCACUCACAUUGAUAUCUAUUGAUGGGCAUCUCCAUAGCUCGUUGAUACGCCUAGUUGAUGUGACUCCGGACGAAAAUUUAAAAAAAAUAAAGAGGCCAUAAAAAAAAGAGAAGACCCAAAAAAAAUGAGAGAAAAAGAGAGAAGGGACAAUGUUACUAUCCCUUUACCACGCUUGUGCUGCAAAGUAGCACCAUGAUCCUCAUGAUAGAGAGUCUCUCAUUCUGUCACUUUCAUAUACUAGUGGCAAUUUUUCAUUAUAGAACUUGGCUUGUAUUUUCCAAUGAUGGGCCUCCUCAAAAUGCCCUAAGUCUUCGUGAGCAAGCGAGUUGGAUGCACACCCACUUAGUUUCUUUAGUUGAGCUUUCAUAUACUUAUAGCUCUAGUGCAUCUGUUGCAUGGCAAUCCCUACUCACUCACAUUGAUAUCUAUUGAUGGGCAUCUCCAUAGCUCGUUGAUACGCCUAGUUGAUGUGAGACUAUCUUCCCCUCUUUUUGUCUUCUCCACAACCACCAUUCUAUUCCACAUAUAGUGUUAUAUCCAUGGCUCACGCUCAUGUAUUGCAUGAAGAUAGAAAAAGUUUUGAAAAUGUCAAAAGUAUGAAACAAUUGCUUGGCUUGUCAUCGGGGUUGUGCAUGAUUUAAAUAUUUUGUGUGGUGAAGAUAGAGCAUAGCCAGACUAUAUGAUUUUGUAGGGAUAGCUUUCUUUGGCCAUGUUAUUUUGAGAAGACAUAAUUGCUUUGUUAGUAUGCUUGAAGUAUUAUUAUUUUCAUGUCAACAUAAACUUUUGUCUUGAAUCUUUUGAAUCUGAAUAUUCAUACCACAAUUAAGAAGAUUUACAUUGAAAUUAUGCCAAGUAGCACUCCGCAUCAAAAAUUCUGUUUUAUCAUUUACCUACUCGAGGACGAGCAGGAAUUAAGCUUGGGGAUGCUUGAUACGUCUCCAACGUGUCUAUAAUUUUUGAUUGCUCCAUGCUAUAUUAUCUACUGUUUUGGACAUAAUUGGGCUUUAUUAUCCACUUCUAUAUUAUUUUUGGUACUAACCUAUUAACCGGAGGCCCAGCCCAGAAUUGUUGUUUUUUUGCCUGUUUUAGGGUUUCAAAGAAAAGGAAUAUCAAACGGAGUCCAAACAGAAUGAAACCUUCGGGAACGUGAUUUUCUCACCGAAUACAACUCAGGAGACUUGGACCCUACGUCAAGCCAAUUAACAGGAGGCCACGAGGUAGGGGGGCGCGCCUGCCCCCCCUAGGUGUGCCAUCCACCCUCGUGGCCCCCCUGUUGCUCCACCGACGUACUUCUUCCUUCUAUAUAUAUCCACGUACCCCCAAACGAUCAGAAACGGAGCCAAAAGCCUAAUUCCACCGCCGCAACUUUCUGUAUCCACGAGAUCCCAUCUUGGGGCCUGUUCCGGAGCUCCACCAGAGGGGGCAUCAAUCACGGAGGGCUUCUACAUCAUCAUCCAAGCCCCUCCAAUGAAGUGUGAGUAGUUUACUUUAGACCUACGGGUCCAUAGUUAGUAGCUAGAUGGCUUCUUCUCUCUUUUUGGAUCUCAAUACAAUGUUCCCCCCUUUCUCGUGGAGAUCUAUUUGAUGUAAUCUUCUUUUUGCGGUGUGUUUGUUGAUACCGAUGAAUUGUGGGUUUAUGAUCAAAUCUAUGUAUGAAUAAUAUUUGAAUCUUCUCUGAAUUAUUUUAUGUAUGUUUGGUUAUCUUUGCAAGUCUCUUCGAAUUAUCAGUUUAUUUUGGCUUACUAGAUUGAUUUUUCUUGCCAUGGGAGAAGUGCUUAGCUUUGGGUUCGAUCUUGCGGUAUCCUUUCCCAGUGACAGAAGGGGCAGCAAGGCACGUAUUGUAUCAUUGCCAUCAAGGAUAACAAGAUGGUUUUUUUAUCAUAUUGCAUGAAACUAUCCCUCUACAUCAUGUCAUCUUGCUUAAGGCGUUAAUCUAUUUUUAACUUAAUACUCUAGAUGCAUGCUGGAUAGCGGUCGAUGAGUGGAGUAAUAGUAGUAGAUGCAGGCAGGAGUCGGUCUACUUGUCUCGGACGUGAUGUCUAUAUACAUGAUCACACCUAGAUAUUCUCAUAACUAUGCUCAAUUCUGUCAAUUCCUCAACAGUAAUUUGUUCACCCACCGUAGAAUACUUAUGCUCUUGAGAGAAGCCACUAGUGAAACUUAUGGCCCCUGAGUCUCUUUCUCAUCAUAUCAAUCUCCAUCACUUUAUUAUUGCUUUGCUUUUACUUUGCUUUUACUUUUUACUUUGCAUCUCUAUACCAAAAAUACCAAAAAUAUUAUUUAUCAUCUCUAUCAGAUCUCACUUUCAUAAGUGACCGUGAAGGGAUUGACAACCCCUAAGCGCGUUGGUUGCGUUGAACUAUUGUUUUUGUGUAGGUACGAGGGACUCGCACGUAGCCUCCUACUGGAUUGAUACCUUGGUUCUCAAAAACCGAGGGAAAUACUUACGCUACUUUGCUGAAUCAUCCUCUCCUCUUCGGGGAAAUACAACGCAGUCCUCAAGAGGUAGCAUACAACAUCUAAAAGGGAAAUUGGGACGUUGAUAAAGAGACGCAUCUUAAAUUCGCAAUAUUAUGAUGAUCAUUGAAUAUACUAAAAAAUGUACUAAAGCAAAGACAAGUAAUAUGGAUCGAAGAGAGCAUAGUGAGUUGCCUCUUAAUCGAAUCUCUUGUAACUAGAUAUAAAUAUACGACGAAAGAUAUUGUUGCUAAAAGACCAUCUCUUGAUUAAUUCUCUCCUCCACCCCAACAUUUAUUAUUGUGACAUUUCUAAGAUAAUACGUAUCAUUGCACACCCCCUUAGGUCAUCUCCGAGGAGAAAUCUCACAUGGGCACCCUCAAAUGUCGCGGAAACGUCCGGUUAUGUCUCCGGACAGUCGGUCAGACUCUGACCAAAUAAGGCUAUAUCUGAAAACUCUCCUACUUAUCUGUCCCUUCCCCUUCACUUCUUUUUGUUCACUAAAUCAAUUUCUUCCAUGUUCAACAUUCAAUAGAAGUUUGACGACGCAUAUAACACUUGCAAACAAAAACAAGCGAAACAAAAGCACCGGAUGCCCAGCAAAAAUAGCAAUUACUCGAAAGAAAAUCACGACCGGACGAGCGUUAGCGACUCGAUGAACAUGUAGUCCUUGUUGAGGUCAACGGUGAUGUACGGUGGAGGGUGGCCGGAGGUGAAGGAGGCAACAGAGUGUUGUCGCAAUUGUUGCAAGCCAGGUUCACCAUACUUCUGGGCAGCGAAGUAGUAUGACGCUUUGUACUAGGCGGGCCAUGGUGGCGAUUGCCCCAUCUAAACCGACAAGGUGGUCCGUUGUGGAGGAGGAGCUCCAGCCUGAACGGAUGCCUGCAUCUUAUUCUUCACCCUUCGCUUUAUGCAGCUCUCUUGUCAUUUAGUAGUCUCCGGAUUCACCGGUGCGGCGCGCGUGGCGGACGUGCUCUGGGUUUGAAGGGGCGAUGAACCUCGUGAUGGGCUUUGGUGGAUCCAUCGUGGCGGUGACGAAACAGACAGGAUGAGGAUGUUCGAAACGGAGAAGAUGGGGUUUUGGCGAGAAAAUAGUAGGAUCCGACACCAAGAGUUAUGUUCAUCGCACGCCAUGAUAUACUAAUAGCUGGCUCAACCAACGUGCACCAGCGGCAUCUACUUGAGCCAGCAUGAGGUAUAUGCACUGCUCUAGCUAACCUCAGAUAUUAUUUGUUUCUAUCGUCCUAACUGUCAGUGAUUAGCAGCACGAGCUCAAAGAGGGCAAAAUUUUCACCAUUAGCGGUAACGUAGCUUUGAGUCACGUGCACAAGUGGUAGGUACAUUUUUAGUGCAGUCGUAGGCCUAAUGUAAAAUACAUAUUUGGGGGCCCGGGGCGGCCGCCCCCGCCCCCCCCCCCCACCCCCCAAGGGCCGGUCCUGUUCAGACGCUGACCAAAUAAGGCUAUAUCUGAAAACUCUCCCACUUAUCUGUCCCUUCUCCUUCAUUUCUUUUUGUUCACUAAAUCAAUUUCUUCGAUGUUCAACAUUCAAUAGCAAUUUGACGAUGCAUAUAACACUUGCAAACAAAAACAAGCAAAACCAAAAGCACCGGAUGCCCAACAAAAAUACCAAUUACUCGAUAGAAAAUCACGACCAGACGAGCGUUAGCUACUCAAUUAACAUGUAGUCCUUGUUGAUGUCGACGGGGAAAUGUACGGUGGAGGGUGGCCGGAGGUGAAGGUGGCAACAGAGUGUUGUCGCGAUUGUUGCACGCCAGGUUCACCGUACUUCUGGGCAACGAAGUAGUAUGACGCUUUGUACUAGGCGGGCCAUGGUGGCGAUUGCCCCAGCUAGACCGACAAGGCGGUCCGUUGUGGAGGAGGAGCUCCGGCCUGAACGGCUGCCUGCAUCUUCUUCUUCACCCUUCGCUUUAUGCACCUCUCUUGUCGUUGGUAGUCUCCGGAUUCACCAGUGCAGCGCACGUGGCGGACGUGCUCCGAGUCCGAAGGGGCGAUGAACCUCGUGAUGGGUGCUACCUCUUGAGCACUGCGUUGGUUUUCCCUUAAAGAGGAAAGGAUGAUGCAGUAAAGUAGCCCAAGUAUUUCCCUCAGUUUUUGAGAACCAAGGUAUCAAUUCAGUAGGAGGCUACGCACGAGUCCCUUGCACCUGCACAAAACAAAUAAAUUCUCGCAACCAACGCGAUAAGGGGUUGUCAAUCGCUACACGGUCACUUACGAGAGUGAGAUCUGAUAGAUAUGAUAAGAUAAUAUUUUUGGUAUUUUUAUGAUAAAGAUGCAAAGUAAAAUAACAGGCAAUGAAAAUAACUAAGUGUUGGAAGAUUAAUAUGAUGAAGAUAGACCCGGGGGCCAUAGGUUUCACUAGUGGCUUCUCUCAAGAGCAUAAGUAUUUUACGGUGGGUGAACAAAUUACUGUUGAGCAAUUGAUAGAAUUGAGCAUAGUUAUGAGAAUAUCUAGGUAUGAUCAUGUAUAUAGGCAUCACGUCCGAGACAAGUAGACUGACUCCUGCCUGCACCUACUACUAUUACUCCACACAUCGGCCGCUAUCCAGCAUGCAUCUAGAGUAUUAAGUUCAUAAAAACAGAGUAACGCCUUAAGCAAGAUGACAUGAUGUAGAGGGAUAAAUUCAUGCAAUAUGAUAAAAACCCCAUCUUGUUAUCCUCGAUGGCAACAAUACAAUACGUGCCUUGAUGCCCCUAUUGUCACUGGGAAAGGACACCGCAAGAUUGAACCCAAAGCUAAGCACUUCUCCCAUUGCAAGAAAGAUCAAUCUAGUAGGCCAAACCAAACUGAUAAUUCGAAGAGACUUGCAAAAAUAACCAAUCAUACAUAAAAGAUUUCAGAGAAGAUUCAAAUAUUGUUCAUAGAUAAACUUGAUCAUAAACCCACAAUUCAUCGAUCUCAAUAAACACACCGCAAAAAAAGAUUACAUCGAAUAGAUCUCCACAAGAGAGGGGGAGAACUUUGUAUUAAGAUCAAAAAAGAGAGAAGAAGCCAUCUAGCUAAUAACUAUGGACCCGUAGGUCUGAGGUCAACUACUCACACUUCAUCGGAAGGGCUAUGGUGUUGAUGUAGAAGCCCUCCGUGAUCGAUGCCCCCUCCGGCGGAGCUCCGAAACAGGCCCAAGAUCGGAUCUCGUGGAUACAAAAAGUUACGGCGGUGGAAUUAGGGUUUUGGCUCUGUAUCUGAUCGUUUGGGGGUACGUAGGUAUAUAUAGGAGGAAGAAGUAUGUCGGUGGAGCAACAGGGGCCCACGAGGGUGGAGGGCGCGCCUAGGGGGUAGGCGCGCCCCUACCUCGUGGCCUCCUUGUUGGUUGCUUGAUGUAGGGUCCAAGUCUCCUUGAUCUUGUUCGUUCCAAAAAUCACGUUCCCGAAGGUUUCAUUCCAUUUGGACUCCGUUUGAUAUUUCUUUGCUUCGAAACCCUAAAAUAGGCAAAAAAACAAUUCUGGGUUGGGCCUCCGGUUAAUAGGUUAGUCCAAAAAAUAAUAUAAAAGUGUAAAAUAAAGCCCAAUAAUGUCGAAAACAGUAGAUAAUAUAGCAUGGAGCAAUCAAAAAUUAUAGAUACGUUGGAGACGUAUCAAGCAUCCCCAAGCUUAAUUCCUGCUCGUCCUCGAGUAGGUAAAUGAUAAAAACAGAAAUUUUGAUGUGGAAUGCUACUAGGCAUAAUUUCAAUGUAAUUCUUCUUAAUUGUGGCAUGAAUAUUCAGAUCCGAAAGAUUCAAUAUAAAAGUUUAAUAUUGACAUAGAAAUAAUAAUACUUCAAGCAUACUAACUAUGCAAUUAUGUCUUCUCAAAAUAACAUGGCCAAAGAAAGUUCAUCCCUACAAAAUCAUAUAGUUUAGUCAUGCUCCAUUUUCGUCACACAAGAAUGCUCUCAUCAUGCACAACCCCGAUGACAAGCCAAGCAGUUGUUUCAUAUUUUAGUAAUCUCAAAAUUUAUAAACCUUCACGCAAUACAUGAGCGUGAGCCAUGGAUAUAGCACUAUGGGUGGAAUAGAGUAUAAUGAUGGGGGUUAUGUGGAGAAGACCAAAAGGAGAAAGUCUCACAUCAACGAGGCUAAUCAAUGAGCUAUGGAGAUGCUCAUCGAUUGAUGUUAAUGCAAGGAGUAGGGAUUGCCAUGCAACGAAUGCACUAGAGCUAUAAAUGUAUGAAAUCUCAACAAAAGAAACUAGUGGGUGUGCAUCCAACUUGCUUGCUCACGAAGACCUAGGGCGCUUGAGGAGGCCCAUUGUUGGAAUAUACAAACCAAGUUCUACAAUGAAAAAUUCCCACUAGUAUAUGAAAGUGACAAAACAAGAGACUCUCUAUCAUGAAGAUCAUGGUGCUACUUUGAAGCACAAGUGUGAAAAAUGAUAGUAGCAUUGUCCCUUUUCAUUUCUCUUUUUUUGGGCCUUCUUCUUUUUUUGGCCUUUCUCUUUUUUUAUUGGGACAAUGCUCUAUUAAAUGAUGAUCAUCACACUACUAUUUAUUUACAACUCAAUGAUUACAACUCGAUACUAAAACAAGGUACGACUUUAUAUGAAUGCCUCUGGCGGUGUACCGGGAUAUGCAAUGAAUCAAGUGUGACAUGUAUGAAAAAUUAUGAACGGUGGCUUUGCCACAAAUACGAUGUCAACUACAUGAUCAUGCAAAGCAAUAUGACAAUGAUGAACGUGCCAUGAUAAACAGGAUGGUGGAAAGUUGCAUGGCAAUAUAUCUCAGAAUGGCUAUGGUAAUGCCAUAAUAGGUAGGUAUGGUGGCUGUUUUGAGGAAGAUAUAAGGAGGUUUAUGUGUGAAAGAGCAUAUCAUAUCAUGGGGUUUGGAUGCACCGGCGAAGUUUGCACCAACUCUCAAUGUGAGAAAGGGCAAUGCACGGUACUGAAGAGGCUAGCAAUGAUGGAAGGGUGAGAGUGCGUAUAAUCCAUGGACUCAACAUUAGUCAUAAAGAACUCACAUACUUAUUGCGAAAAUCUACAAGUCAUCAAAAACCUCGGCACUACGCGCAUGCUCCUAGGGGGAUAGAUUGGUAGGAAAAGACCAUCGCUCGUCCCCAACCGCCACUCAUAAGGAGGACAAUCAAAGAACACCUCAUGUUUCAAAUUUGUUACAUAACGUUUACCACACGUGCAUGCUACGGGACUUGCAAACUUCAACACAAGUAUUUCUCAAUUUCACAACUACACAACUAGCACAACUUUAAUAUCACUACCUCCAUAUCUCACAACAAUCAUCAAGCAUCAAACUUCUCUUAUUAUUCAAAACACUCAUAAGAAAGUUUUUACUAAUCUCGAAUACUUAGCAUAUUAGGAUUAUUUAAGCAAAUUACCAUGAUACUUAAGACUCUCAAAAUAAUAUAAGUGAAGCAUGAGAUAUCAAUAGUUUCUAUAAUACAAAUCCACCACCGUGCUCUAAAAGAUAUAAGUGAAGUACUAGAGCAAAACUAUAUAACUCAAAAGGUAUAAGUGAAGCACAUAGAGUAUUCUAAUAAUUUCCAAAUCAUGUGUGUUUCUCUCAAAAGGUGUGUACAGCAAAUAUGAUUGUGGUAAACUAAAAAUCAAAGAUUCAAAUCAUACAAGACGCUCCAAGCAAAACACAUGUUAUGUGGUGAAUAAAAAUAUAGCUCCAAAUAAAGUUACUGAUAGAAGUAGACGAAAGACGGGAUGCCUUCCGGGGCAUCCCCAAGCUUUGGCUUUUUGGUGUCCUUAUAUUAUAUUGGGGGUGCCAUGGGCAUCCCCAAGCUUAGGCUCUUGCCACUCCUUGUUCCAUAAUCCAUCAAAUCUUUACCCAAAACUUGAAAACUUCACAACACAAAACUUAAAGUAGAAAAUCUCGUGAGCUCCGUUAGCGAAAGAAAAGAAAAGACCACUUCAAGAUACUGUACUGAACUCAUUAUUUAUUUAUAUUGGUGUUAAGCCUACUGUAUUCCAACUUCUCUAUAGUUUAUAAACUAUUUUACUAGCCAUAGAUUCAUCAAAAUAAGCAAACAACACACAAAAAACAGAAUCUGUCAAAAACAGAAUAGUAUGUAGUAAUCUGUAGCUAGCGCAAUAUCUGGAACCCCAAAAAUUCUAAAAUAAAUUGCCGGACGUGAGGAAUUUAUCUAUUAAUCAUCUGCAAAAAGAAUUAACUAAAUAUCACUUUCCAAAUAAAAAUUGCAGCAGUUCUCGUGAGCGCUAAAGUUUCUGUUUUUUACAGCAAGAUUAACAAGACUUUCCCCAAGUCUUCCCAACGGUUCUACUUGGCACAAACACUAAUUAAAUACAAAAAACACAACCAAAACAGAGUCUAGAUAAAUUAUUUAUUGAAUUACAGCAAGGAAAAAUAUUGGGUUGUCUCCCAACAAGCGCUUUUCUUUAAAGCCUUAUAGCUAGGCAUUGAUAAUUUUAAUGAUGCUCACAUGAAAGACAAGAAUUAAAGCACAAAAGGAGCAUCAUAAAACAUGUGACAAACACAUCUAAGUCUAACAUACUUCCUAUGAAUAGGCAUCUUAUAGGCAAACAAAUUAUCAUGGCAAGCAAAAACUAGCAUAUGCAUGGAAGAGGAAAGAAACAAUAGUAAUCUCAACAUAACGAGAGGUAAUUUAGUAACAUGAAAAUUUUUACCACCAUAUUUUCCUCUCUUGUAAUAAUUACAUGUAGGAUCAUAAGAAAAUUCAACAAAAUAGCUAUCACAUAAAAUAUUUUCGACACGAUCCACAUGCAUGCAAAGUUGACACUCUUCCAAAAUAAUGGGAUUAACAUUAACUAAAGUCAUGACCAUUCCAAACCCACUUUUAUCAAAAAUUUCAUAAGAUUGAACAUUCUCCAAAUAUGUGGGAUCUAAAGUUGACACUAUUCCAAACCCACUUUCAAUAAUAUUGCAAACAUUAUUAUCAAUCUCAUAUUCAUCAUGGGGCUUAAAUAAAUUUUCAAUAUCAUAAGAAGAAUCACCCCAAUCAUGAUCAUUGCAACAAGUAGAGGACAUAGCAAAACUAGUAUCCCCAAGCUUAGGGUUUUGCAUAUUAUUAGCACAAUUUACAUAAAUAGAAUUUAUAAUAAAAUCAUUGCAAUCAUGCUUUUUAUUCAAAGAUCUAUCGUGAAUCGCUUCAUAAAAUAAUUCAUCACACUUUUCAGAUUCAUGAAUUUCAAGCAAAACCUCAUAAAGAUAAUCUAGUGCACAAAACUCACUAGCAAUUGGUUCAUCAUAAUUGGAUCUCUUAAAAAUAUUAGCAAGCGGGUGAGGAUCCAUAGAUCUUAGGUUCUCUAUUUAGUAAUAAAUAAGCAAGUAUUCCAACCAUACGAGCAAACAAGAAACGGGUAAAAAGAGGCAAAUAGAGAAAGAGAGGGAGGAUAGAGAGAGAGAGGGCGAAUAAAACGGGAAGGGUGAAGUGGGGAGAGGAAAACGCGAGGCAAAUGGAAAAUAAUGUAACGCGGGAGACAGGGGUUUGUGAUGGGUACUUGGUAUGUUUGACUUUUGCAUAGACCUCCCCGGCAACGACGCCAGAAAUGCUUCUUGCUACCUCUUGAGCACUGCGUUGGUUUUCCCUUGAAGAGGAAAGGGUGAUGCAGCAAAGUAGCGUAAGUAUUUUCCUCAGUUUUUGAGAACCAAGGUAUCAAUCCAGUAGGAGGCUACACGCGAGUCCCUCGCACCUGCACAAAACAAAUAAAUCCUUGCAACCAACGUGAUAAGGGGUUGCCAAUCCCUACAUGGUCACUUACGAGAGUGAGAUCUGAUAGAUAUGAUAAGAUAAUAUUUUUGUAUUUUAUGAUAAAGAUGCAAAGUAAAAUAAAAGGCAAUGAAAAUAACUAAGUGUUGGAAGAUUAAUAUGAUGAAGAUAGACCCGGGGGCCAUAGGUUUCACUAGUGGCUUCUCUCAAGAGCAUAAGUAUUUUACGGUGGGUGAACAAAUUACUGUUGAGCAAUUGACAGAAUUGAGCAUAGUUACGAGAAUAUCCAGGUAUGAUCAUGUAUAUAGGCAUCACGUCCGAGACAAGUAGACCGACUCCUGCCUGCAUCUACUACUAUUACUCCACACAUCGACCGCUAUCCAGCAUGCAUCUAGAGUAUUAAGUUCAUAAGAACAGAGUAACGCCUUAAGCAAGAUGACAUGAUGUAGAUGGAUAAAUUCAUGCAAUAUGAUAAAAAACCCAUCUUGUUAUCCUCGAUGAAAAAAUAUAAUACGUGCCUUGCUUCCCCUACUGUCACUGGGAAAGGACACCGCAAGAUUGAACCCAAAGCUAAGCACUUCUCCCAUUGCAAGAAAGAUCAAUCUAGUAGGCCAAACCAAACUGAUAAUUCGAAGAGACUUGUAAAGAUAACCAAUCAUACAUAAAAGAAUUCAGAGAAGAUUCAAAUAUUGUUCAUAGAUAAACUUGAUCAUAAACCCAAAAUUCAUCGGUCUAAACAAACACACUGCAAAAGAAGAUUACAUCAAAUAGAUCUCCACAAGAGAGGGGGAGAACUUUGUAUUGAGAUCCAAAAAGAGAGAAGAAUCCAUCUAGCUAAUAACUAUGGACCCGUAGGUCUGAGGUAAACUACUCACACUUCAUCGGAAGGGCUAUGGUGUUGAUGUAGAAGCCCUCCGUGAUCGAUGCCCCCUCCGGCGGAGCUCUGGAAUAGGCCCCAAGAUGGGUUCUCGUGGAUACAAACAGUUAUGGCGGUGGAAUUAGGUUUUGACUCCAUAUCUGAUCGUUUGGGGGUACGUAGGUAUAUAUAGGAGGAAGAAGUACGUCGGUGGAGCAACAGGGGGCCCACGAGGGUGGAGGGCGCGCCAGGGGGGUAGGCACGCCCCCCUACCUCAUGGCCUCCCUGUUGGUAACUUGACGUAGGGUCCAAGUCUCCUGGAUCUUGUUCGUUUCAAAAAUCACGUUCCUGAAGGUUUCAUUCCGUUUGGACUCCAUUUGAUAUUCCUUUUCUUCGAAACCCUAAAAUAGGCAAAAAACAACAAUUCUGGGCUGGGCCUCCCGUUAAUAGGUUAGUCCCAAAAAUAAUAUAAAAGUGUAUAAUAAAGCCCAAUAAUGUCCAAAACAGUAGAUAAUAUAGAAUGGAGCAAUCAAAAAUUAUAGAUAUGUUGGAGACGUAUCAAUGGGCUUUGGUGGAUCCAUCGUGGCAGUGACGAAACAGACACGAUGACGAUGUUCGGAACAGAGAAGAUGGGGUUUUGGCAAGAAAAUAGUAGGAUCCGACGCCAUGAGUUCUGUUCAUCGCACGUCAUGAUAUACUAAUAGCUGGCUCAACCAACGUGCACCAGCGGCAUGUACUUGAGCCAGCACGAGGUAUAUGCACUGCUCUAGCUAACCACAUAUAUUAUUUGUCUCUGUCCUCCUAACUGUCAGCGAUUAGCACCACCAACUCAAAGAGGGCAAAAUUAUCACCAUUAGCGGUACCGCAACUUCCAGUCACGUGCACAAGUGGUAGGUACAUGCAAUGGAUGUUGUGGUGCCGCGUUCUCUCCUAUGGUAGUUGGGACAUGUACAACAUCUAAAAGGGAAAUUGGGACGUUGAUAAAGAGACACAUCUUAAAUUCGCAAUAUUAUGAUGAUAACAUUAAAAAAUAUAGUCUCAUCGAGUAUACUAAAAAAUGUACUAAAGCAAAGACAUUAAUACGGAUCGAAGAGAGCACAGUGAGUUGCCUCUUAAUCGAAUCUCUUGUAACUAGAUAUAAAUAUACGGCGAAAGAUAUUGUUGCUAAAAGACCAUCUCUUGAUUAAUUCUCUCCUCCACCCCAACAUUUAUUAUUGUGACAUUUCUAAGAUAAUACAUAUCAUUGUACACCCCCUUAGGUCAUAUCCGAGGAGAAAUCUCAAAUGGCACCCUCAAAUGUCCCGAAAACGUCCGGUCAUGUCUCCGGACAGUCGGUCAGACGCUGACCAAAUAAGGCUAUAUCUGAAAACUGUCGUACUUAUCUGUCCCUUCCCCUUCAUUUCUUUUUGUUUACUAAAUCAAUUUCUUCGAUGUUCAACAUUCAAUAGCAAUUUGACGACGCAUAUAACACUUGCAAACAAAAACAAGCAAAACGAAAGCACCGGAUGCCCAACAAAAAUAGCAAUUACUCGAAAGAAAAUCACAACCGGACAAGCGUUAGCGACUCGAUGAACAUGUAGUCCUUGUUGAGGUCGACAGUGAUGUACGGUGGAGGAUGGCCGGAGGUGAAGGAGGCAACAGAGUGUUGUCGUGAUUGUUGCACGCCAGGUUCACUGUACUUCUGGGCAGCAAAGUAGUAUGACACUUUGUACUAGGCGGGCCAUGGUGGCAAUUGCCCCAGCUAGACCGACAAGGCGGUACAUUAUGGAGGAGGAGCUCCGUCCUGAACGGCUGCAUGCAUCUUCUUCUUCACCCUUCGCUUUAUGCAGCUCUCUUGUCGUUUGGUAGUCUCCGGAUUCACCGGCGCGCCGCGCGUGGCGGACGUGCACUGGGUCCGAAGGGGCGAUGAACCUUGUGAUGGGCUUUGGUGGAUCCAUCGUGGCACUGACGAAACAGGCAAGAUGACGAUGUUCGGAACGGAGAAGAUGAGGUUUUGGCGAGAAAAUAGUAGGAUCCGACACCAUGAGUUCUGUUCAUGUCACGUCAUGAUAUACUAAUAGCUGGCUCAACCAACGUGCACCAGCGACAUCUACUUGAGCCAGCACGAGGUAUAUGCACUGCUCUAGCUAACCUCAGAUAUUAUUUGUCUCUGUCCUCCUAACUGUCAGCGAUUAGCACCACCAGCUCAAAGAGGGAAAAAUUAUCACCAUUAGAGGUACCAAAGUAAUCCAGGAGUAGAUCACUAGACAGCGGUCAAGAACAUCCUGAAAUACCUGAAAAGGACUAAGGAUAUGUUUCUCGUAUAUGAAGGUGACAAAGAGCUCAUCGUAAACGGUUAUGUUGAUGCAAGCUUUGACACUGAUUCGGAUGAUUCUAAAUUGCAAACCGGAUACGUGUUUACAUUGAACAGUGGAGCUGUCAGUUGGUGCAGUUCUAAACAAAGCAUUGUGGCGGGAUCUACAUGUGAAGCGGAGUACAUAGCUGCUUCGGAAGCAGCAAAUGAAGGAGUCUGGAUGAAGGAGUUCAUAUCUGAUCUAGGUGUCAUACCUAGUGCAUCGGGUCCAAUGGAAAUCUUUUGUGACAAUACUGGUGCAAUUGCCUUGGCAAAGGAAUCCAGAUUUCACAAAAGAACCAAGCACACAUCAAGAGAUGCUUCAAUUCCAUCCAGGAUUUAGUCCAGGUGGGAGACAUAGAAAUUUGCAAGAUACAUACGGAUCUGAAUGUUGCAGACCCAUUGACUAAGCCUCUUCCAUGAGCAAAACAUGAUCAGCACCAAGGCUCCAUGGGUGUUAGAAUCAUUACUGUGUAAUCUAGAUUAUUGACUCUAGUGCAAGUGGGAGACUGAAGGAAACAUGAUCAGCACCAAGGCUCCAUCUCUUGCCUGUCUAUGUUUGAUUGUAGAUAGAUGGCCCGUGCUGUUGUUUCGUUGAAUUUUAAUACAUUCCUUGAGAAAGCAAAGUUGAAAGAUGAUGGUAGCAAUUACACGGACUGGGUCCGUAACUCGAGGAUUAUCCUCAUUGUUGCCCAGAAGAAUUACGUCCUGGAAGCACCGCUGAGUGCCAGGCCUGCUGCUGAUGCAACUGGCGACGUUAAGAACGUCUAGCAGAGCAAAGCUGAUGACUACUCGAUAGUUCAAUGUGCCAUGCUUUACGACUUAGAACUGGGACUUCAACGAUGUUUUGAACGUCAUGGAGCAUAUGAGAUGUUCCAGGAGUUGAAGUUAAUAUUUCAAAAGAAUGCCCAGAUUGAGAGAUAUGAAGUCUCCAAUAAGUUCUAUAGCUGCAAGAUGGAGGAGAAUAGUUCUGUCAGUGAGCAUAUACUCAAGAUGUCUGCGUACUACAAUCACUUGAUUCAACUGGGAGUUAAUCUUCCGGAUGAUAGCGUCAUUAACAGAAUUCUCCAAUUACUUCCACCAAGUUACAAGAGCUUCGUGAUGAACUAUAAUAUGCAAGGGAUGGAUAAGACAAUUCUCGAGCUCUUCGCAAUGCUAAAGGUUGCGGAGGUAGAAAUCAAGAAGGGGCAUCAAGUGUUGAUGGUCAAUAAGACCACCAGUUUCAAGAAAAAGUGCAAAGGGAAGAAGAAGGGGAACUUCAAGAAGAACAGCAAGCAAGUUGCUGCUCAGGAGAAGAAACCCAAGUCUGGGACUGAGUGCUUCUACUGCAAGCAGACUGGUCACUAGAAGUGUAACUGCCCCAAGUAUUUGGCGGAUAAGAAGGAUGGCAAAGUGAACAAAGGUAUAUGUGAUAUACAUGUUAUUGAUGUGUACCUUACUAGAGCUCGCAGUAGCACUUGGGUAUUUGAUACUGGUUCUGUUGCUAAUAUUUCCAACUCGAAACUGGGACUACGGAUUAAGCGAACACUGGCAAAGGACGAGGUGACGAUGCGCGUGGGAAAUGGUUCCAAAGUCGAUGUAAUCGCAGUCGGCACGCUACCUCUACAUCUACCAUCGGGAUUAGUAUUAGACCUAAAUAAUUGUUAUUUGGUGCCAACGUUGAUCAUGAACAUUAUAUCUGGAUCUUGUUUAAUGCGAGAUGGUUAUUCAUUUAAAUCAGAGAAUAAUGGUUGUUCUAUUUAUAUGAGUAAUAUCUUUUACGGUCAUGCACCCUUGAAGAGUGGUCUAUUUUUGAUGAAUCUCGAUAGUAGUGAUACACAUAUUCAUAAUGUUGAAGCUAAAAGAUGCAGAGUUGAUAAUGAUAGUGCAACUUAUUUGUGGCACUGCCGUUUAGGUCAUAUCGGUGUAAAGCGCAUGAAGAUACUCCAUACUGAUGGACUUUUGGAACCACUUGAUUAUGAAUCACUUGGUACUUGCGAACCGUGCCUCAUGGGCAAGAUGACUAAAACGCCGUUCUCCGGAACUAUGGAGAGAGCAACAGAUUUGUUGGAAAUCAUACAUACAAAUGUAUGUGGUCCGAUGAAUGUUGAGGCUCGUGGCGGAUAUCGUUAUUUUCUCACCUUCACAGAUGAUUUAAGCAGAUAUGGGUAUAUCUACUUAAUGAAACAUAAGUCUGAAACAUUUGAAAAGUUCAAAGAAUUUCAGAGUGAAGUUGAAAAUCAUCGUAACAAGAAAAUAAAGUUUCUACGAUCUGAUCGUGGAGGAGAAUAUUUGAGUUACGAGUUUGGUCUACAUUUGAAACAAUGCGGAAUAGUUUUGCAACUCACGCCACCCGGAACACCACAGCGUAAUGGUGUGUCCGAGCGUCGUAAUCGUACUUUACUAGAUAUGGUGCGAUCUAUGAUGUCUCUUACAGAUUUACCGCUAUCAUUUUGGGGUCAUGCUUUAGAGACGGCCGCAUUCACGUUAAAUAGGGCACCAUCAAAAUCCGUUGAGAUGACGCCUUAUGAACUGAGGUUUGGCAAGAAACCAAAGUUGUCGUUUCUGAAAGUUUGGGGCUACGAUGCUUAUGUGAAAAAGCUUCAACCUGAUAAGCUCGAACCCAAAUCAGAGAAAUGUGUCUUCAUAGGAUACCCAAAGGAAACUGUUGGGUACACCCUCUAUCACAGAUCCAAAGGCAAGAUAUUCGUUGCUAAGAAUGGAUCCUUUCUACAUAAGGAGUUUCUCUCGAAAGAAGUGAGUGGGAGGAAAGUGGAACUUGAUGAGGUAACAGUACCUGCUCCUCUAUUGGAAAUAGUUCAUCACAGAAAUCGGUUUCUGUGACGCCUACACCAAUUAGUGAGGAAGUUAAUGAUGAUGAUCAUGGAACUUCAGAUCAAGUUACUACUGAACCUCGUAGAUCAACCAGAGUAAGAUCCGCACCAGAGUGGUACGGUAAUCCUGUUCUGGAAGUCAUGCUACUAGAUCAUGAUGAACCUACGAACUAUGAAGAAGCGAUGGUGAGCCCAGAUUCCGCAAAAUGGCUUGAGGCCAUGAAAUCUGAGAUGUCAUCCAUGUAUGAGAACAAAGUGUGGACUUUGGUUGACUUGCCCGAUGAUCGGCAAGCAAUUGAGAAUAAAUGGAUCUUCAAGAAGAAGACUGACGCUGACGGUAAUGUUACUGUCUACAAAGCUUGACUUGUUGCGAAAGGUUUUCGACAAGUUCAAGGGAUUGACUACAAUGAGACUUUCUCACCCGUAGCGAUGCUUAAGUCUGUCUGAAUCAUGUUAGCAAUUGCCGCAUUUUAUGAUUAUGAAAUUGGGCAAAUGGAUGUCAAAACUGCAUUCCUGAAUGGAUUUCUGGAAGAAGAGUUGUAUAUGAUGCAGCCGGAAGGUUUUGUCGAUCCAAAGGGAGCUAACAAAGUGUGCAAGCUCCAGCGAUCCAUUUAUGGACUGGUGCAAGCCUCUCGGAGUUGGAAUAAACACUUUGAUAGUGUGAUCAAAGCAUUUGGUUUUGUAUAGACUUUUGGAGAAGCCUGUAUUUACAAAAAAGUGAGUGGGAGCUCUGUAGCAUUUCUAAUAUUAUAUGUGGAUGACAUAUUGUUGAUUGGAAAUGAUAUAUAAUUUCUGGAUAGCAUAAAGGGAUACUUGAAUAAGAGUUUUUCAAUGAAAGACCUUGGUGAAGCUGCUUAUAUAUUGGGCAUCAAGAUCUAUAGAGAUAGAUCAAGACGCUUAAUUGGACUUUCACAAAGCACAUACCUUGACAAAGUUUUGAAGAAGUUCAAAAUGGAUCAAGCAAAGAAAGGGUUCUUGCCUGUGUUACAAGGUGUGAAGUUGAGUAAGACUCAAUGCCCGACCACUGCAGAAGAUAGAGAGAAAAUGAAAGAUGUUCGCUAUGCUUCAGGCAUAGGCUCUAUCAUGUAUGCAAUGGUGUGUACCAGACCUGAUGUGUGCCUUGCUAUAAGUCUAGCAGGGAGGUACCAAAGUAAUCCAGGAGUGGAUCACCGGACAGCGGUCAAGAACAUCCUGAAAUACCUGAAAAGGACUAAGGAUAUGUUUCUCGUAUAUGGAGGUGACAAAGAGCUCAUCGUAAAUGGUUACGUUGAUGCAAGCUUUGACACUGAUCCGGACGAUUCUAAAUCGCAAACCGGAUACGUGUUUACAUUGAACGGUGGAGCUGUCAGUUGGUGCAGUUCUAAACAAAGCGUUGUGGCGGGAUCUACAUGUGAAGCGGAGUACAUAGCUGCUUCGGAAGCAGCAAAUGAAGGAGUCUGGAUGAAGGAGUUCAUAUCCGAUCUAGGUGUCAUACCUAGUGCAUCGGGUCCAAUGAAAAUCUUUUGUGACAAUACUGGUGCAAUUGCCUUGGCAAAGGAAUCCAGAUUUCACAAGAGAACCAAGCACAUCAAGAGACGCUUCAAUUCUAUCUGGGAUUUAGUCCAAGUGGGAGACAUAGAAAUUUGCAAGAUACAUACGGAUCUGAAUGUUGCAGACCCAUUGACUAAGCCUCUUCCACGAGCAAAACAUGAUCAACACCAAGGCUCCAUGGGUGUUAGAAUCAUUACUGUGUAAUCUAGAUUAUUGACUCUAGUGCAAGUGGGAGACUGAAGGAAAUAUGCCCUAGAGGCAAUAAUAAAGUUAUUAUUUAUUUCCUUAUAUCAUGAUAAAUGUUCAUUAUUCAUGCUAGAAUUGUAUUAACCGGAAACAUAAUACAUGUGUGAAUACAUAGACAAAUAGAUUGUCACUAGUAUGCCUCUACUUGACUAGCUCGUUGAUCAAAGAUGGUUAUGUUUCCCAACCAUAGACAUGAGUUGUCAUUUGAUUAACGGGGUCACAUCAUCAGGAGAAUGAUGUGAUUGACAUGCCACAUUCCGUUAGCUUAGCACCCGAUCGUUUAGUAUGUUGCUAUUUCUUUCUUCAUGACUUAUACAUGUUCCUAUGACUAUGAGAUUAUGCAACUCCCGUUUACCGGAGGAACACUUUGUGUGCUACCAAACAUCACAACAUAACUGGGUGAUUAUAAAGGUGCUCUACAGGUGUCUCCAAAGGUACUUGUUGGAUUGGCGUAUUUCGAGAUUAGGAUUUGUCACUCCGAUUGUCGGAGAGGUAUCUCUGGGCCCUCUCGGUAAUGCACAUCACUUAAGCCUUGCAAGAUUGCAACUAAUAAGUUAGUUGCAGGAUGAUGUAUUACAGAACGAGUAAAUAGACUUGCCGGUAACGAGAUUGAACUAGGUAUUGAGAUACCGAUGAUCGAAUCUCGGGCAAGUAACAUACCGAUGACAAAGGGAACAACGUAUGUUGUUAUGCGGUUUGACCGAUAAAGAUCUUCGUAGAAUAUGUAGGAGCCAAUAUGAGCAUCCAGGUUCCGCUAUUGGCUACUGACCGGAGACGUGUCUCGGUCAUGUCUACAUAGUUCUCGAACCCGUAGGGUCCGCACGCUUAACGUUACGAUGACAGUUAUACUAUGAGUUUAUAUGUUUUGAUGUACCGAAGGUUGUUCAGAGUCCCGGAUGUGAUCACGAACAUGACGAGGAGUCUCAAAAUGGUUGAUACAUGAAGAUUGAUAUAUUGUAAGCCUAUGUUUGUAUAUCAGAGGUGUUUCGGGUGAAAUCGGGAUUUUACCGGAGUACCGGGAGGUUACCGGAACCCCCCGGGAGGUAAAUGGGCCUUAGUGGGCCUUUACGGAGAAGAGGAGAGGCGGCCAGGUGUAGGAUCGAAAGUAUGUCUAGAGGGGGGUGAUUAGACUACUUGACCAAAUAAAAACUUAACCUUUUCCCAAUUUUAGUUCUUGGCAGAUUUUAGCUAUUUUAGGACAAGUCAAGCAAUCAUCACACAAUUCAAGCAAGCAUGCAAAGAGUAUAUUGGCAGCGGAAAGUAAAGCAUGCAACUUGCAAGAAUGUAAAGGGAAGGGUUUGGAGAAUUCAAACGCAAUUGGAGACACGGAUGUUUUUCCCGUGGUUCGGAUAGGUGGUGCUAUCCUACAUCCACGUUGAUGGAGACUUCAACCCACAAAGGGUAACGGUUGCGAGAGUCCACACAGGGCUCCACCCACAAAGGGUAACGGUUGCGUGAGUCCACAUAGGGCUCCACCCAUUAAGGGUCCACGAAGAAGCAACCACCCACAAAGGGUCCAGGAAGAAGCAACCUUGUCUAUCCCACCAUGGCCAUCGCCCACACAGGACUUGCCUCACUAGCGGUAGAUCUUCACGAAGUAGGUGAUCUCCUUGCCCUUACAAACUCCUUGGUUCAACUCCACAAUCUUGUCGGAGGCUCCCAAGUGACACCUAGCCAAUCUAGGAGACACCACUCUCCAAGAAGUAACAAAUGGUGUGUAGGUAAUGAACUCCUUGCUCUUGUGCUUCAAAUGAUAGUCUCCCCAACACUCAACUCUCUCUCAUAGGAUUUGGAUUUUGUGGAAAGAAGAUUUGAGUGGAAAGCAACUUGGAGAGGCUAGAGAUCAAGAUUCAUAUGGUAGGAAUGGAAUAUCUUGGUCUCAACACAUGAGUAGGUGGUUCUCUCUUAGAACAUAUGAGUUGGAAUGGUGUAUGCGUUCUGAUGGCUCUCUCUUCGAAUGAAGAGGAGGUGGAGGGGUAUAUAUAGCCUCCACACAAAAUCCAACUGUUGCACACAGUUUUCCAAUCUCGGUGGGACCGAAUCAACAAACUCGGUCGGACCGAAAAUGUAAACCUAGUGACCGUUAGAGAUUUUCGGUGGGACUGACAUGCAACUCGGUAGGACCGAUAUGGUUAGGGUUUGGGCAUAACGUAAUCUCGGUGAGACCGAUUACACAAACUCGGUGAGACCGAAUUUGGUAAUUAGCUAACCAGAGAGUUGGUCAGGCAAACUCGGUGGGACCGAUUUGCUCUUUCGGUGAGACCGAAAAGUUACAAAGGGGAAACACUGAAUUUACAUUGCAAUCUCGGUGGGACCGAUUCGCUCUUUCGGUGAGACCGAAAAGUUACGAAAGGGAAACAGAGAGUUUGCAAUCCCAUCUCGGUGAGACCGAGAUCCCUAUCGGUAGAACCGAAUUGCUAGGGUUUGGUAGUGGCUUAUGACAAGUGAAACUCGGUGGCGCCGGAUAGGAAGAAUCGGUAGGACCGAGUUUGGCUUAGGGUUUAGGUCAUAUGUGGAUAUGGGAAAGUAGUUGAGGGUUCUGGAGCAUAUCACUAAGCACAUGAAGCAAGAGGCUCAUUAAGCAACACCUCAUCCCUCCUUGAUAGUAUUGGCUUUUCCUAAAGACUCAAUGUGAUCUUGGAUCACUAAAAUAUAAAAUGAAGAGUCUUGAGCUUUUGAGCUUGAGCCAAUCCUUUGUCCUUAGCAUUUUGAGGGUUCCACUUUCACAUCCAUGCCAUGCCAAUCAUUGAGCUUUCUUGAAAUAAUCAUCUUGGAAUAGCAUUAGCUCAAUGAGCUAUAUGUUGUUAUGAAUUACCAAAACCACCUAGGGAUAGUUGCACUUUCAAUCUCCCCCUUUUUGGUAAUUGAUGACAACAUAUAGAUCAAAGCUUCGACAAAUGAUAAUAAGCAUGAAAUAUAUCGUCGCUUUGAGAAGUAUGUGAUAAGUAAGAGCUCCCCCUAAAUUUGUGCAUAUUUAAAAUUUGCUUUGGACUGCAAAUGCACAAGGAGUUAGAGCCAUGGGUUACUCUUCCAUGUCACAUACAUCUUGGUGGAGCGCUUAAAAUGAUAAGAAUGAAAUACAUGCACUCAUCACCAAGAAUAGUGAAUGAUCACAUAAGAUAGAUAAGAUAAUAACAUUAAUCAAACAUUAAGUGUAGCUUAUGAUCAAACACCUGAUCAUCAAUGUCUCACGAGCAUAGUAUCUCAAGCACUCAAACGCAAACAAGUUCGAAAAAAAACACCAAAUAAAGCAAGAGAGAAAAGCAACACUCUCUCUCUCGAAGCCUAUGAUCUAUACAUUUUUCUCCCCCUUUGGCAACAAUUUACCAAAAAGUUCCUAGAAAAUGCAUAGUGCUAGAUCGACGCUCAGGCUUCAUCUUCAGGUGGUGGUGGAGUCCGGAUCACUCCAAGGACGAAGGCUUUUGUAGAUGCUGAAGUAGACGCUGGAGUUGGAGCUGAAGUAGAUGCUGGAGCAGGUUGGGCUGGUGCUACGGCUGGAGCUGAGGCAGUUGCUCUUGUGUCAGGAACUGGCACUGCAGACGACCUCGGACCUCGUGGCACUCUGGCAAAGGCAUCAGUGGUUAUCUUCCCUUUCCUCUCCUGCGUAUCGUCUUGAAGCUGCUCCACUGCAGUCUGAAUUUCUAUCACCUUGACAUCCAAGUCAUAGAACUUUUGUUCCAUGAUUCUCUCUAGGCUUGCCUGGUUUUGAGUUAGGGUGGCUAGUCCUUUCUCAAUCCGUAGGGUGGAUGCAAUCAGGUAACCAAGCUGCUCUUGUUUGGUUUUCAAGAAAUACUCAGAUGCCUCCUCUUGAGUUGGCAUCUUGGCAGCUUUCUCCUUCCUUGCCUUCUCCUUCUUUACUUGUGCUUGAACUGAUGAUGGCUCAUUCUCAGUCAUUACAACUUGAUUGUCCUCAAAAUCUGGACGGAUGGGCAGGUGUUCCUUGUCCAAUAAAUAUAUGCCUGUGCCCAUCUUAGAGUUGAUGAGCUCCUGAAUUUGAGGGGCAUAACCACAACUCCUCUUCUGAUCUGCUGCAGUCCUCUUGAUAGUCUCUACUAUGAGGCUCAUGACCUUGAAUUUCUGUGGCACAUCAAAUACAUGUAGCAAGUUGAUUGCAUGGCCUCUGAUCAUCUUGUGAUCUCCAGACUUGGGCAAUAAGGUGUGCCUCAAUAUCCAAUUGAUGGUUGGCAGCCCUGACAGAAGAUAAUGCACUGAGCCAAAUUUGAAAGUGUCAAGAGCUUCAUUGGGAAUUUCCUUGUACAUGUUGGACAUUGAGUUAUGAUCCAUUUUCUUCUUGGCAUAGAUAUCCAAGUCAUCUGCUUGCUCCUCUGGGGCAUUGAUCAACUUUGCCCAUUCCUCAACAGUUGAUUGGUACCUCGUACCCUCAGACAUCCAUGUGAUCCUCCCAUCUGGAUAAAAGUGUGCCGUGGAGUAGAAUUUCAUGAUGAGCUCCUCGUUCCACUUUGUGAGCUUCUGCCCAACAAAGUCAGCAACUCCACAAGCACUAAAGCUGUCAUACACUCUAGGGUAGUGUUCCUCAUUUUCCUUUAUGUAGUCCCAAUCGACCCAUCUCAUGUCACAGACUAUUGGCUUCUUGUCUAGCAGCACUGUCUCAUAAAAAUCUUGCUGCUCCUUGGUGUGAAACCUGUAAUCCACAGCAGUCCUUCUCCUUGAAGCAUACGGAUCUGCUUCUCUCCACUUCCUCAGCCCUGAGUCUCUCCUGAGCUUCAUAUCCUCAGCCACAGGAUGAGCGUCGUUAUGGUCUGGGAUCUUGGGCUUGAGCUUUCUCAGAAUUUGCUCUUCAUCCUCUUCUUCAGCAACAGUCUCAGGCACUGGGGCCUUGUUCUUCUCAGCUACAGGAAUGCUCCUUGUAUUCCUCUUUGGUGCAGACUUGGGCUUGGAGGCAGCUUUGGGUGCUUCUUUGGGCUUAGAUGCAGCAGCCCCUGUCCUGAUAGCAUCACCCAUAAGCUUAGGUGCUUUAGGUGCUGGUGCAGCAACCUCUUCUUCCUCUUCCUCUUCCAUAAUGGAAGCCUUCCCAAGCACUCUGGCUACGGUCUUCUUGACCCUUUCCUUCCUCUUCUUGCCUUCUGCAGCAACUGGCUCUUUGGGUCCAGGCUUUUCAGUUGAAGCUCUAGCCUUUGACAUAGGCUGCCUGCCUGCUGGCCUUUUGAUCUUUAGACCUAGCUUUGUGCCUUGAGCUGGCUCAACUCUCUUUGAUGUGGCCUCUUCUUCUGCCACAUAAUCUUCAUCUUCAGAAUCAGAAGUUCUCUUCUUCCUUUGUCUAGUGGCAGCUUUUGGCAGAUUGCUUGGGGUACUUCUGCUGCCAUCAUCUGAAGAGCUGGAGGGGCUAGUGCCCUCACUCAUCUGCACUUGCUCUUCUGACAUGUUUUGGCUAUCACUUUGAUCAGACAUGCUGUAAACUCUGACUGCUGACCCUGUGAAUAGUUUAUAGAUGAGGUAGAAUGGAUGAGUAUCACAAAAUGCAGAGAUUUUUGCAAAAGAAUGAUCCAAAAACUUAGUUUUAGUUUCCCACUGAAAUCAUCUCGGAUCUACCGAUUUUCAAACUCGGUGAUACCGAAGCAGUUGUGGAACCUAAACUAGUGAACUCGGUUGGACCGAGUCACAGUUCGGUGACACCGAGACUGCUAGGGUUUCACAAAAUUCCAAAAUCGGUCACACCGAUAAGUAAUUCUCGGUCAGACCGAGUCUCACUUGUGCAAUGGCAUAAGCCAAAUCGGUGGGACCGAGUUUUUCAACUCGGUGGGUCCGAGAUGGUUUCGGCGGAAACCUAACCCUAAAAUUUUCGAAUCAAACCUAAUCUACGAGCGUAUUGACUGGAUAGGAGUGUUUCAAUCGUGGCAAGAAUCAUGAUGAUCACAAUGUGCUAAGAAUCGGAUUGGGGAAUAGCACAAAGAUCGAGUCCAUACCCUAGUUCGGCGAAGACUCGCUACGGCGGCAACGGCGGGGCAGAAUUCCCGUUGACGGCGACGGAGACCAGCGACUGGAGGCGGCUGGCGGCGAGGAGACGAUCCGGAGACCACGUUGGCAGAGCAGGCUAUCGCGCGGGCAAAGGAGUUCGGAGAAAUUUCCAAAUUUUGCCCGUGACUAUAUAUAGCCCGACCCUGUCGGUGUGACCGAGUGGAACAACUCGGUGGCACCGAGAUUCAUAACUGCAAGCAGUUACUGAAACUCGGCGUGACCGAAAGGUUCAAAUCGGUUGCACCGAGAUCGAAAACCUAGAUCAACUUAGUGAUCUCGGUAGGACCGAAAGUGGGGUAUCGGUCAGAUCGAGAAUCAUAAAGAGGUUUUGGAAGUUUAAGUCUAUGACGAAUCGGGGACUCCGAGCGCUCCUCACACAGAGUGGUUCGAAUCUGACUUGAUCAAAUUUUGUGAUGCAGCAUGAAUAGAGUUUGAGACGAGAAAAGCAUAGAUAGCUAGAGGAGGUUCUUAGGCAUUCUUGUCCAUCCACUUGGCAAAAGAAAAUAAAACCAAACAAUCAAAACAACAAGUGGAUGUCCUCGAAUGAGUAAAAUAUGCAACCAGCAUGCUCACACAAUAAGAUGGCAAAUGAAAUAUGUGACAAGGCAUGCACAACCAAUUCUAGCAUCUAUCAAGCAAUUUGCGAUGACUAGGUCAUCUAUAUAUGAGUAUAUUGACUUAGGAGUCAAGUGAGAACACUUGAUCAUAGGUCAUACUCAUCGCUUAAGCUCAAGUGGGGUUACCACUUUUACAUAAAGCAUUGUUGUGUUCACAUCUUUAGAGUUGCUUUAGCUCAAGUCUUAGAGUAAAGCUCCCCCUAGAUGUGAUACCCCCCCUAAGAGGGAUGAACUAACCUUGGGUUUUGUCGAUGAUGACUUCAUGUAGAUGUUGAAGAUGUGGAUGCUCAAUGUUGAUGUAGAUCACUUGGAGCUAUCCAUUUGAGUGAAUUGCACUUUCAAUACCUACAUGGGUUAGUCCCACAAGGAACAAACAAGGAUAUCCAUAGACAUAGAGUGAUGCACACACAAGAUGAUGUCCAUGAAAACUUUUAGGUUACCUUGUCCCUUGUCUUACCAACAUGAGGGUUUGUGACUCCUUGAACUAGUGCAAGAUGUGGAAGUUGAUUGCACUUGUUCUUGCCAAAAUGAUAAGAGUGAAGUGUGUUGGCGGAGUCACCCUCAAGGACUCUCUAGUUCUUCUUCUUUUGGAUCCACAUCAUCUUGAUGGGAAUCCUUGGAGUUAUAGUCGUACUUGAUGAAGUGGAACUUGAAGUAGUCUUGGGAAUCCACUUGACUAAGGUCUUAGAAGCUUCUUCAAAUGCGUCAAUUUCCUCUUGAAGCUUGUCCUUGCCUUUUUGCUUGUAGUCUUGUGGUGGAAGAUCAUCUUGAGCUUGUGUCCCCUUGAAAGAAGUAUCAUACUUCUCUUGUUGAGGAACAAACUUUGUCUUGGGGUAUUGAUCUUCUUCCCACUCAACUCCAUUGGCAUUGAACUUUCGUUCAAAACCAACACCUUGAUUCUUCCAGUGCAUUCCUUGCUUGCGCACAAUUUCCUCUAAUUGCUUACUCCCAGCAAGGCUUUUGUACACUCAUUUCUCUAUAAUUCCCUUCAAUAAGCUAUUUUCUUGCUCAAGUGUAACUUGGCUAAGAGAAUCAUUAGUGGAAUCAAGAGAACUACUAGAAGCAACAAUAUUGGAUUUAGCAUGAUCAUUGUUACUACUAGAGGAAGAAUCUUUCUUGUUCUUGUUACUAGACUUGACUUGAGGCAUGUAAGUGGAUAAGAGUAAAUGCUUGGCAAUGUGAGAAGAACUUUUCUUGCGGAGAUCAUCAUUGAUUGCUUUUAAGAACUCAUGCUCUUGCUCAAGAUUGAGCUUUUCAAAGCGUAAUUUCUCAUGAGCUCUUAAAAGUUCUCGAUGAUCUUCGAAGAUAGUUUCAUGGGCUAACUUAAGAGUGUUUAGUUCUUUAGUUAGGGCCUCAAUCUUCUCCUUAUCAUUGUCAUUCGUUUUAUCUUGAUUAGCAUGUUUAAUUGACGUUUCAUCAUAGUAUUCAUCACUAGAGUUGUCAACAAGCAAAUCAUCACCUAACAAGUCAUCUUCAUCACUAUUGAAAUCAACAUACUCGGGGUGUGUUACCUUAGGACCUUUGGCCAUGAAGCAUCUUCCAAUUCCUUCAUUUGGUGAGUCAAAUAUGUCGUAGGAGUUGGUUGACACAAGUGCUAGACCAGCAACACCUUCAUCUUGAGUAUCUUCGGAGUCGGAGUGAUAACUUCUCUCAGAGUGGCUGUCGGAGUCGGAGCCGGAUACCCAUUCACCAACAUGAGCUUGAUGUCUUCGUCUUGUGUAGCUCCUUGAUGAUUUUUCCUUUCUUUCCGAAUCCUUGCUUCUCCGUGAGUAUCUUCGUUCAUAACGAUCAUCUCUACUCCUUCUCUCUCUUGGUGGUGAUUCUUUGCUUCUUCUUUUUGGAGAAUCUUCUCUUCUCUUGUAGGGAGCCGUACACUCAUUGGAAUAGUGUCCGGGUCUUCCACAACUGUAGUAGUUUCGCUCUCGACUAGAAGAUCUUUUGUCAUUGUAGGACCUUGACUUGAAGCUUCUAUCUUUGCUUCUACUCUUGUAGAACUUGUUGAAGUUCUUCACCAUUAAGCUCAAUUCUUCAUUGAAGUCCUGUUUCUCACUUGAUGAUGUAGGGGCUUCACAUGAGGCUUUAUAGGCACCACUUGAUUUGUUGUGAAGUUCCUCUUUAUCCUUAAGUGACAUCUCAUGAGCAACAAUUCUUCCAAUCACCUCCGUUGGCUUGAGAUCUUUGUAAUUGGGCAUCAUUUGGAUCAAUGUGCACACGCUAUCAUAUUUUCCAUCCAAGGCUCUUAGAAUCUUCUUGAUGAUGAAUCUAUCGGUCAUCUCUUCACUUCCUAAGCCGGCAAUCUCAUUUGUGAUGAGAGCAAGCCUAGAGUACAUUUCAGCGAUACAUUCACCAUCCUUCAUCUUGAACUUGUCAAGUUGGCUUUGAAGCACAUCCAACUUGGAUUCCUUGACGGAGUCGGUACCUUCGUGCAUAUCAAUCAAAGUGUCCCAAAUUUCCUUAGCAUUCUCAAGACGGCUGAUUUUGUUGAAUUCUUCGGGGCACAAUCCGUUGAAGAGAAUAUCACAAGCUCGAGCAUUGUAUUGCAACAUCUUCAACUCAUCCGCGGUAGCUUCACGGUUUGGUUCUUUCCCAUCAAAGAAGUCACCUUGCAAACCAACACACACAAUAGCCCAAACGGCGGGGUUAUGUCCAAGAAUAUGCAUUUUCAUUUUAUGCUUCCAACUAGCAAAAUUAGUACCAUCAAAGUAGGGACCUCUACGGUGAUAAUUUCCCUUGCUAGACGCCAUACUCUCCUAGGUUGUGAAACUAGGCUAAUGACCACCAAAAGCUAUGGAGAUCAAAGCAAAUGAAGACCAAAGCUCUGAUACCACUUGUAGGAUUGAAAGUAUGUCUAGAGGGGGGUGAUUAGACUACUUGACCAAAUAAAAACUUAACCUUUUCCCAAUUUUAGUUCUUGGCAGAUUUUAGCUAUUUUAGGACAAGUCAAGCAAUCAUCACACAAUUCAAGCAAGCAUGCAAAGAGUAUAUUGGCAGCGGAAAGUAAAGCAUGCAACUUGCAAGAAUGUAAAGGGAAGGGUUUGGAGAAUUCAAACGCAAUUGGAGACACGGAUGUUUUUCCCGUGGUUCAGAGAGGUGGUGCUAUCCUACAUCCACGUUGAUGGAGACUUCAACCCACAAAGGGUAACGGUUGCGAGAGUCCACACAGGGCUCCACCCACAAAGGGUAACGGUUGCGCGAGUCCACACAGGGCUCCACCCACGAAGGGUCCACGAAGAAGCAACCUUGUCUAUCCCACCAUGGCCAUCACCCACACAGGACUUGCCUCACUAGCGGUAGAUCUUCACGAAGUAGGCGAUCUCCUUGCCCUUACAAACUCCUUGGUUCAACUCCAUAAUCUUGUCGGAGGCUCCCAAGUGACACCUAGCCAAUCUAGGAGACACCACUCUCCAAGAAGUAACAAAUGGUGUGUAGGUAAUGAACUCCUUGCUCUUGUGCUUCAAAUGAUAGUCUCCCCAACACUCAACUCUCUCUCAUAGGAUUUGGAUUUUGUGAAAAGAAGAUUUGAGUGGAAAGCAACUUGGAGAGGCUAGAGAUCAAGAUUCAUAUGGUAGGAAUGGAAUAUCUUGGUCUCAACACAUGAGUAGGUGGUUCUCUCUCAGAACAUAUGAGUUGGAAUGGUGUAUGUGUUCUGAUGGCUCUCUCUUCGAAUGAAGAGGAGGUGGAGGGGUAUAUAUAGCCUCCACACAAAAUCCAACUGUUACACACAGUUUUCCAAUCUCGGUGGGACCGAAUCAACAAACUCGGUCGGACCGAAAAUGUAAACCUAGUGACCGUUAGAGAUUUUCGGUGGGACUGACAUGCAACUCGGUAGGACCGAUAUGGUUAGGGUUUGGGCAUAACGUAAUCUCGGUGAGACCGAUUACACAAACUCGGUGAGACCGGAUUUGGUAAUUAGCUAACCAGAGAGUUGGUCAGGCAAACUCGGUGGGACCAAUUUGCUCUUUCGGUGAGACCGAAAAGUUACAAAGGGGAAACACUGAAUUUACAUUGCAAUCUCGGUGGGACCGAUUCGCUCUUUCGGUGAGACCGAAAAGUUACGAAAGGGAAACAGAGAGUUUGCAAUCCCAUCUCGGUGAGACCGAGAUCCCUAUCGGUAGAACCGAAUUGCUAGGGUUUGGCAGUGGCUUAUGACAAGUGAAACUCGGUGGCGCCGGAUAGGAAGAAUCGGUAGGACCGAGUUUGGCUUAGGGUUUAGGUCAUAUGUGGAUAUGGGAAAGUAGUUGAGGGUUCUGGAGCAUAUCACUAAGCACAUGAAGCAAGAGGCUCAUUAAGCAACACCUCAUCCCUCCUUGAUAGUAUUGGCUUUUCCUAAAGACUCAAUGUGAUCUUGGAUCACUAAAAUAUAAAAUGAAGAGUCUUGAGCUUUUGAGCUUGAGCCAAUCCUUUGUCCUUAGCAUUUUGAGGGUUCCACUUUCACAUCCAUGCCAUGCCAAUCAUUGAGCUUUCCUGAAAUAAUCAUCUUGGAAUAGCAUUAGCUCAAUGAGCUAUAUGUUGUUAUGAAUUACCAAAACCACCUAGGGAUAGUUGCACUUUCAAUCUCCACGUCGUCGUGCUGACGAAACUCUCCCUCAACACUCGGCUGGAUCGGAGUUCGAGGGACGUCAUCGGACUGAACGUAUGCUGAACUCGGAGGUGCCGUACGUUCGGUACUUGAUCGGUCGGAUCGUGAAGACAUACGACUACAUCAACCGCGUUGUGCUAACGCUUCCGCUUUCGGUAUACGAGGGUACGUGAACAACACUCUCCCCUCUCGUUGCUGUGCAUCACCAUGAUCUUGCGUGUGCCUAGGAAUUUUUUUGAAAUUACUACGUUCCCCAACACCAGUCACGUGCACAGGUGGUAGGUACAUGCAAUGGAUGUUGUGGUGCCGCGUUAUCUCCUAUGGUAUUUGGGACAUGUACAACAUCUAAAAGGGAAACUGGGACGUUGAUAAAGAGACCCAUCUUAAAUUCGCAAUAUUAUGAUGAUAACAAUAAAAAAAUAUAGUCUCAUCUAGUAUACUAAAAAAUGUACUAAAGCAAAGACAAAUAAUAUGAAUCGAAGAGAGCACAGUGAGUUGCCUCUUAAUCGAAUCUCUUGUAACUAGAUAUAAAUAUACGGCGAAAGAUAUUGUUGCUAAAAGACCAUCUCUUGAUUAAUUCUCUCCUCCACCCCAACAUUUAUUAUUGUGACAUUUCUAAGAUAAUACAUAUCAUUGUACACUCCCUUAGGUCAUCUCCGAGGAUAAAUCUCAAAUGGCACCCUCAAAUGUCCCGAAAACAUCCGAUCAUGUCUCCGGACAGUCGGUCAGACGCUGACCAAAUAAGGCUAUAUCUGAAAACUCUCCUACUUAUCUGUCCCUUCCCCUUCAUUUCUUUUUGUUCAGUAAAUCAAUUUCUUCGAUGUUCAACAUUCAAUAGCAAUUUGACGACGCAUAUAACACUUGCAAACAAAAACAAGCGAAACGAAAGCACCGGAUGCCCAACAAAAAUAGCAAUUACUCGAAAGAAAAUCACAACCGGACAAGCGUUAGCGACUCGAUGAACAUGUAGUCCUUGUUGAGGUCGACAGUGAUGUACGGUGGAGGGUGGCCGGAGGUGAAGGAGGCAACAGAGUGUUGUCGUGAUUGUUGCAAGCCAGGUUCACCGUACUUCUGGGCAGCGAAGUAGUAUGACGCUUUAUACUAGGCGGGCCAUGGUGGCGAUUGCCCCAUCUAGACCGACAAGGCGGUCCGUUGUGGAGGAGGAGCUCCGGCCUGAACGGCUGCCUGCAUCUUCUUCUUCACCCUUCGCUUUAUGCAGCUCUCUUGUCGUUUGGUAGUCUCCGGAUUCACCGGUGCGGCGCGCGUGGCGGACGUGCUCCGGGUUUGAAGGGGCAAUGAACCUCGUGAUGGGCUUUGGUGGAUCCAUCAUGGCGGUGACGAAACAAACAGGAUGGCGAUGUUCGGAACGGAGAAGAUGGGGUUUUGGCGAGAAAAUAGUAGGAUCCGACGCCCCCCCCCCUCAAAAAACCUACUACAUUUACGGGAUUUCAAACGUCCGAACUGAUUCAAUCUGAUUUGGUAAGCCGCGUUGAAGCACUAAAAUUGACCGAUCCAUACUUUUGGGAUGGUUUGGGCGUCGGAGAUAUCAUGAACUCAGGCCAACUCUAUCGCAUGAUCUCGAACGAAUGUCCGUUUUAUCCGGAUUCUUUCUGUCUAGAACGACAAUGGAUGCAAAAACGGACACAUGUGUCCGGCUUUCGUUGGAGGCGCCCACCGCCACAGCCGACCCUAAAUUGUCCGCCCGCCACACCUCGUCCUCGCGCGCUCCGCCUCGCAAUGNNNNNNNNNNNNNNNNNNNNNNNNNNNNNNNNNNNNNNNNNNNNNNNNNNNNNNNNNNNNNNNNNNNNNNNNNNNNNNNNNNNNNNNNNNNNNNNNNNNNNNNNNNNNNNNNNNNNNNNNNNNNNNNNNNNNNNNNNNNNNNNNNNNNNNNNNNNNNNNNNNNNNNNNNNNNNNNNNNNNNNNNNNNNNNNNNNNNNNNNNNNNNNNNNNNNNNNNNNNNNNNNNNNNNNNNNNNNNNNNNNNNNNNNNNNNNNNNNNNNNNNNNNNNNNNNNNNNNNNNNNNNNNNNNNNNNNNNNNNNNNNNNNNNNNNNNNNNNNNNNNNNNNNNNNNNNNNNNNNNNNNNNNNNNNNNNNNNNNNNNNNNNNNNNNNNNNNNNNNNNNNNNNNNNNNNNNNNNNNNNNNNNNNNNNNNNNNNNNNNNNNNNNNNNNNNNNNNNNNNNNNNNNNNNNNNNNNNNNNNNNNNNNNNNNNNNNNNNNNNNNNNNNNNNNNNNNNNNNNNNNNNNNNNNNNNNNNNNNNNNNNNNNNNNNNNNNNNNNNNNNNNNNNNNNNNNNNNNNNNNNNNNNNNNNNNNNNNNNNNNNNNNNNNNNNNNNNNNNNNNNNNNNNNNNNNNNNNNNNNNNNNNNNNNNNNNNNNNNNNNNNNNNNNNNNNNNNNNNNNNNNNNNNNNNNNNNNNNNNNNNNNNNNNNNNNNNNNNNNNNNNNNNNNNNNNNNNNNNNNNNNNNNNNNNNNNNNNNNNNNNNNNNNNNNNNNNNNNNNNNNNNNNNNNNNNNNNNNNNNNNNNNNNNNNNNNNNNNNNNNNNNNNNNNNNNNNNNNNNNNNNNNNNNNNNNNNNNNNNNNNNNNNNNNNNNNNNNNNNNNNNNNNNNNNNNNNNNNNNNNNNNNNNNNNNNNNNNNNNNNNNNNNNNNNNCCGUCGCCCCGUCGUGGCCGCGUGGAGGUGGCCGCCGGCCGCAAAAGAAGAGAGAGGGAGAGAGAAAAAUGAGAGAGAGAAGGACAGGUGGGUUGGCAGCCGGGCCCAUCUGGUUCCAAUGACAGGUCGGCCGGGGGUCACAUGCAAAGGGACAGGGGUGGACGAGGACCACGCAGAAAACGUCCGGACGUGUCCGUUUUAGACCCUAACCCAGGGCAACUUUGCUCCGAGAAUGGGUCGAGGCGGACAAGAAACCGACAUUUUUUUAGGACAGGGUUAUGCGUUGGGACGUUUCGUAUGUUCGUUUUAUCUCAAACGGACAGCCCAAAUAAUUUGAGGUCGUGCGGUGGAGUUGGCCUCACGGUAGCCAGUAGCCAGGUCGCUGGACAAGUCUCGUCUGGAAGAGCGUGUGCUACUGCUGUGCUGGACCAAAACGAAAACCAGGAUGGGACGCGCGGACCACGCGGCGAAACGGUCAGGAUCCUCCCUCCGCCCCACUCCCUUUUAAGCCCCCCAUCCGCCCGUACUCGUCGGCGCCGUGCAGUUGAGUGCUCGCUGCUCCCUCCUCCCCCUCCGCGAAGAUUCUCCUUCGACCCCUGCCGAUCUCCAAGGCGACGUCGCCGUCGCCGUCGCCGCGCGCCAGAUCUCCUCCGCGCGCUCGCGGCGCGCCCUCGCCGCCUGCGCGAUCUGCCCGGUGAGUCCCCUUCCACCGCUGCCUGCUCCUAGAUCCGUGUCCUCGCCUGGAAUUCCGGUGGGGUUUCAGUUGCCGAGUGUACCAUUCCCGUGCGUGUUGUUCGCCGCGGCCAAGAAUUCGGUUGUGGUUUCACGUUGCGUGUAUUGGUUUGCCACUGCUGGACCUGGGGAUCGCGAUGAUGGGCGCCUGGUGAAAAUUGCAUUUGUCAGGGGUGGAUGUUCUUCUAUGCCUGCUGAUGGCUAUGGUGCCAGUUCAGUCAGUUCUCUACUGUUUUACUACUACUACUACUACUACUACUACUACUACUACUACUACUACUACUACUACAUAGCCUGCUGAUGGCUGUGGAGUUAAUAAUGUUUCCUCUAUUCUUCCUUCAUAGUUGGAGUAUAUCUGCUUUUAGUUUUAGUAGGAGGUGCCUUGUUUUCCUAGUAGUAACUUCGAUUAUAAGUUUGUAAGAAUAAUUACUGCUGGGCACAUUAAUAACACUAGCAGGUUUGGAUAUUUAUUUGCAGGCCAAGAUGGCGACCUAUGAGCCCAAGAACAUCCUCAUAACUGGUGCUGCGGGUUUCAUUGCAUCCCAUGUGGCGAACCGUCUAAUUAGGAGCUAUCCUCACUACAAGAUUGUCGUCCUCGACAAGAUUGACUACUGCUCCAACCUGAAAAAUCUCAACCCUUCCCGGCCAUCGCCAAAUUUCAAGUUUGUCAAGGGCGACAUUGCAAGUGCUGACCUGGUGAACUAUCUUCUCAUCACUGAGUCGAUUGACACCAUCAUGCACUUUGCUGCCCAGACUCAUGUGGAUAAUUCGUUUGGCAAUUCCUUUGAGUUCACAAAGAACAACAUAUAUGGCACCCACGUUCUCCUUGAGGCGUGCAAGGUUACUGGCCAGAUCAGAAGAUUUAUUCACGUCAGUACUGAUGAGGUGUACGGAGAAACUGAUGAGGAUGCUGUGGUUGGUAACCAUGAGGCCUCGCAGUUGCUUCCGACAAAUCCAUAUUCAGCUACCAAAGCUGGGGCUGAAAUGCUUGUGAUGGCUUAUGGGAGGUCUUAUGGUCUUCCUGUGAUUACAACCCGAGGCAACAAUGUGUAUGGACCAAAUCAGUUCCCUGAGAAGCUCAUCCCAAAAUUUAUCCUUUUGGCCAUGAAAGGCUUGCCCCUUCCAAUUCAUGGUGAUGGCUCUAAUGUCAGGAGCUACCUGUACUGCGAGGAUGUUGCUGAAGCUUUUGAGGUAGUUCUUCACAAAGGAGAGGUUGGACAUGUGUAUAAUAUUGGUACUGUGAAGGAGAGGAGGGUAAUUGAUGUGGCCAGUGACAUAUGCAAGCUAUUUGGCUUGGACACCGAAAAGGUCAUCAGGUUUGUCGAGAACAGGCCCUUCAAUGACCAGAGGUACUUCCUGGAUGAUCAGAAACUGAAGAAGUUAGGAUGGGCAGAGCGCACUACAUGGGAAGAGGGUUUGAAGAAAACAAUUGAAUGGUACACCAGCAAUCCUGAUUACUGGGGAGAUGUUGCCGGUGCAUUGCUCCCUCAUCCAAGGAUGUUGAUGACGCCUGGAGUUGAAAGGCAUAACUGGACUGAGGAAAUCAAAUCUCUUGCUUCUUCGCCAGCUGAAGCCAAGGAAUGUAGUACAGUACCUGCUGCAGCCACAUCCAAGAGCACCAGCAGUGUCCCUCAAAAGGCCACCUACAAGUUCUUAAUAUAUGGUAAGACUGGAUGGAUUGGUGGUCUACUUGGGAAGAUAUGUGAGAAGCAAGGCAUACCUUAUGAAUAUGGUAAAGGCCGCCUGCAAGAGCGCUCUCAGCUCUUGCAGGACAUUAGAAACGUGAAGCCGACUCAUGUUUUCAAUGCUGCUGGUGUCACUGGAAGGCCAAAUGUUGACUGGUGUGAGACCCACAAACAGGACACUAUCCGCACCAAUGUUGUAGGCACCUUGAAUCUUGCUGAUGUUUGUCGUGAGCAGGGGUUGCUCAUGAUUAAUUAUGCUACAGGUUGCAUAUUUGAGUAUAAUGCUGAACACCCUGAAGGGUCUGGAAUUGGUUUUAAAGAGGAGGACACACCCAACUUUGUAGGUUCAUUUUAUUCCAAAACCAAAGCCAUGGUAAGUUCAAAUAUUUUGUUUAUGAUGUGUAACACAUAUCCUUUUGCUUCUCGUGGAAACAAACUCAUUUGUUCAUACAUACAAUGCAGGUGGAAGAGUUAUUGAAGGACUAUGAUAAUGUCUGUACUCUUAGAGUCAGGAUGCCCAUAUCAUCAGACCUGAGCAAUCCUCGUAACUUCAUCACAAAAAUAGCCCGCUAUGACAAGGUGGUGAACAUUCCCAACAGUAUGACAAUUUUGGAUGAAUUGUUGCCUAUCUCUGUUGAGAUGGCGAAGCGGGAUUGUAGGGGCAUAUGGAAUUUCACCAACCCGGGGGUUGUCAGUCACAACGAGAUUCUGGAGAUGUACAAGGAAUACAUCAACCCAGACUUCAAGUGGACCAACUUCACGCUCGAAGAGCAGGCCAAGGUUAUAGUUGCACCCAGAAGCAACAACGAAAUGGACGCGUCAAAGCUGAAGUCCGAGUUCCCUGAGCUACUGUCCAUUAAGGAAUCUUUGAUCAAGAAUGUCUUUGAGCCAAACAGGAAGGUUUCUACUAAUUGAAGAUUCAUGUGACACAGGUCUGCUAGAAGCUAUUUCCAAUUAGCUAAUAUAUUUCAUGGUGGCAGCUGUGGUCAAUUCCAUUGUGGUAUAGCAGGCAUACAUAUUUACGAUUUUUUGUUACGCAUUACGUUUCACUUGAGAACAGAUCUUAAAAUCUAUGUAGUGGUGGAUAUGUUUGUUGGCCUGGUUAUCUAUGUGAACAGAUCUUAAAAUCUUGUUUCUAUUUAUCAGGUGCCUUUCAUGUGCAUGAUGCUGCGCUUGUGCAUUCUGUUUACGUGUUGUUUUUCUUGGUUUGCAUAUCUGAAGUUUGUAUUGGCAGACUCGACUUAUAUGUGUAGUUUUGUUGGUUCAUAUUUGAAGUUUGCAUCAGCUUCCAAAAACAUGUGCAUUCAGAAGCCCAGAGGGUUUGUCAGUUGAUGCACCCUGAUCAACUGUAAGCUCCUGUCGGCCGUCAAAAGCGACGUUUGAGUAUCACACGCUGAAUUAUUUGCUUGCAGUAGAUUAGUUUGACUUUUGAGUAUCACACGCUGAAAUAUUUGCUUGCAAUAGAUUAGUUUUUGGUGCAGGCUGACGGCGUUGCCAGAGCUUGUCUUUUCCUGCUCCACAAACAUAAUGAUCAUACCGACUGUUUCCAGAGUUCGAGGUUUCCAUAGAUCUGUUCCUGUUUUGUGUAAUCUUCUUGAUCUCUGGCUUUCCCCUUUUGCGCUUGAAACCUCUCUUGCUCGGGGGAUACCAUGGAGUGCGCGCAUGGGACGAGUGGGCUAUGUUUGGUCGUGUGGGAGAGAUUUCUCCGGGUUACAAAGCAUGGGUGCGAUUUUUCUUCGCACAUGCGAAUCCACGGAGGAAUUUCUCAGACACCAUUUGGCACUUCGGGGAUUAGGCUGGGCUCCGUAGCUGUCGUAUGCAAAUGGAAAGAGAACUAGAUAGAAACGAGGCAGUCUUCAACAGCCGGCUCAAAUUCACCAGGCAAUCGUGGAAACAUACUUCGGCUUCACCAAGCUAAUCCUUUUCUUUUACCCCUAAAAAAAGCUAAUCUUUUUUUAGGAAUCAUUUUUUGGACGAUGAUAACACCUGAACGUUUGGUCUUGGAAAGCGUCCCACAGCCCCAAGGGCGUCCCUAUGUCUCGCCUUCCGUGACUCGGACUCGCUGAAGGGGUGACCGAGAUGGUCCGGCCCACGCGCGUGGCAGCCAACAGGCUUUUUUUCUGUUUUUUGUUUUAGUUUUUUGCUUUAUUUUUGUACUUUUGUUUAUACUUUAAAAUAUUCUAAAUAUAUAUAUUACAAAAAACAUUUGAAAAAUAGUGAACGAGUAUUUAAAAAAUGUUGAAUGGGUAUUAGGCAAAUGUUGAAUAAGUACUACAAAAAUGUUGAACAAGCAUUUGAAAAAAUUUGAACGAACGUUCAAUAAAGGUUGAACAUAUAUACAAAAAAUGUUGAUCACUUGCUAAAAAAAUGAUGAUUUUUUUAUCAUGUAUAUAAAAAUGUUGAUCAAGCACCUGAAGAAAAUGUUAAUAAAAAAUUCGGGAAAUGUUAAACAUGUAUAGAAAAAAAAUGUUGAACAUGUAUUAAAUAAAUGAUGGAAAAAAAUUGAUCGUGCAUAUAAACAUGUCAAUCAAGCAUUUGAAAAUAAAUGUUGCACAAGUGUUUGAGAAAUGUUAAUCAAGCAUUUGGAAAAUGUUAAAUAUGUAUAGAGAAAAUGUUGACCAUGUAUUCAAAAAAUGUUAAUUUUAAUUUUAAAACUAUUAAUAGAGCAUUUACAAAAUAUUUAAAAUGUGCGACGAAACUGUAAAAAAUGUUACAAAUAUGUAGAAAAAUGUUAAUCUUGUAUUUGAAAAAUGUUAAAACCAUGUAUAAAAAAAUAUUGAUCAUGUAUUAGAAAAAUGUAUAAUUUGCAUUGAAAAAAUUAGAUGUGUAUUCGAAAAAUGUUGUUGACAUAUACAAAAGAUGUAGAAUGAUAAGCAAAAGAACAAAGAAAACCGAAAAUAGAAACAAAAGAAAUAAAAGGAAAAAAGAAAAUAAAAAAAAACGAAGUAACAAAAUGCAAAAAAUAAUGAAACAGAAUGAAAGAAAAAUUGAGAAAACCAAAAAAGAAACAAAGAAAACCAAAAAAAGAAACAAAAAAAC